GUGUGUGUGUGUGGACUCAGCAGUCUGUGUGUGUGUGUGUGGACUCAGCAGUCUGUGUGUGUGUGUGUGGACUCAGCGGUCUGUGUGUGUGUGGACUCAGCAGUCUGUGUGUGUGUGGACUCAGCAGUCUGUGUAUGUGUUUGUAUAUGGACUCAGCAGUCUGUGUAUGGACUCAGCAGUGUGUGUGUGUAUGGACUCAGCAGUGUGUGUGUGUAUGGACUCAGCAGUGUGUGUGUGUAUGGACUCAGCAGUGUGUGUGUGUAUGGACUCAGCAGUCUCUGUGUGUGUAUGGACUCAGCAGUCUCUGUGUGUGUGUGUGUGUGUAUGGUCAGCAGUCUGUGUGUCUCUGUGUGUAAGGACUCAGUAGUCUGUGUGUGUGUGUGUAUGUGUGUGCGCGCGUGUAUGGACUGUAUCAAAGGAAAUGUGUUUGAUUUUUAAUAAUCCUGAAUUCUGAAAAUAAUGAAUUCUCCACCAGGGAUCAUUAAAAACAAAAACCAAAACCACAUUGUGUCGGGGCGGGGCUUAAUAUGCGGCAGGGGCGGGGUCAAACUGCGGUGAGGGCGGGGUUAAAUGUGCCCCCCUACUUUAGUCCCUGGCCCACCAUGUGCCCCCCCCUAAAAAUGAAUCCUAGAGAUGCCACUGUCUACAGGUCAGUAGAACUUACUCAUCCUGUAACAACUGGGUUGAGAGAAACUUCAAAACUUACUUUUCAGCCACAUCUUAACUCCAUGAGAGAGCUGCCUGGAGGGGUCACAUGGCCCUAGUGAGCGGCUCUUUGAUGUUUGGGUACCGAAGAUCGUUUGCGUACCGAGACAUUUUUUACGCAAAAUUUUAGUUCAAAUACCAAAUUGUUCGUGAACAGGAAUGUUCGAGUUACAAGGUUCCACUGUACUUACAAUCAAAAAUUCCAUACGUACUAUCAUGAAAAAAUAUAAAACUGCUUAACCCCACUGACAUUGUCAACUAAUUGGCUGGCCUUUGCACUACCUUAUACAAUUUAAAAGAUGAUCCUAUGAUGACACAACUGACCGCGGACACCAUUAACACCAUCCUAAAUAAAGUAGACCUACUAACAUUAUCUGACCAUCAUAAAUUAGCAUUAGCAUUAGUCCAUUCACGGAAGAAGAAUUAAGCAAAGCGAUUUUAUCACUACAAAAAAAACCAUAAAGCCCUGGUCCCAGAGGGCUUUUCCAAUGACUACUACAUAAAACUCAAGAGGGAACUGACCCCCCCACCUACCAAGAGUCUUCAAUAUCAUAAGCAGAUCAGGCGUAAUUCCUAAAGAAAUGUUAGAGACCCAUCUAGUGACACUACCUAAACCUGGAAAAACCCCUACAGAAUGUGCUAACUUGAUACCUAUAUCCCUCCUAAACGCGACUACCAAACUGCAUGCAAAGGUACUGGCAAAUAGACUCAAACCCAUGCUAGUAUACCUUAUCUCCUCAGAACAGGCAGGUAGACGAAAACACUAGGCACUUUAUUACCUUGAUAAGAUGGUCACUUAUUGUUGUGGAAAUUAGAUGUUGACAUAUUUUCUAGUUAGUAAAAUGCCUAUUUACUCAUUUAACUGAAAUCAAUGUAUAAGCUAUUCACGCAUAUUUAGACAAAAUGGCCACUAGAAGCUUCUAACCCCUCCCUCCCUAUAACACCAACUAACUACCUUGUGUAACAAGAUGGCGCUGGAAUCCGGGGAUGACCCUCAUGGUUCCAGUGACAUCACCCUUAGUAGGCAGAGCAUUAAGAAGACCACUUAACACAACCAAUUAUUGAUGUAUUAUUUCAUGUUAUCUCUGACAAUGCUUAUGAUGUAAUUUUGCUUUAAAAGGGACCUGCCGUUCCCUCUGAAUAAACAUUCCUCAAGUUAUUCAUCAACCUGAAACCUGUGUCUGGUGUGAAUUACUUCAGGGAGCGUGCACGCAUUGUUUCUUAAUUUGGCCAGGGGCAGAUACACAAAGAAUAAUCAAUUUAUUGAUUGAUUUCCAUUUCAAUUGGCGCCCAAUGUGGGGCCACAGGAUUUGCCGGUUCGAAGGGCCAGAAACCAACGGACCUCCGGAAAGUGGGACAACCGGAGCCUGAUCACCUCCACAAUACAGCCGUUGUCUGUAUUCUCCUGUUUUGUGUCAGUCUGCCUCCACGUCCACUUCCGGCUUCCAGAAGGCCACAAGAGACAGGUAAUAUCUCAUCCGGUGCCUCUUUUUAACGAACCUGUCGAUUGUCUGUGUGUGUGUUUGUAUGAAUGUGUGUGACGGCCAGUUCUUUUUAUUAUGUUAGCUUGACUGCCUAGCGGGCAGGGAACGCAUACAGCCGGUAAGGGGCUGGGUACAACCCGGGUAACAGGGUUGGGAUAUUGAGUACAGCCGGUAAGGGGCUGGGUACAACCCGGGUAACAGGGUUGGGAUAUUGAGUACAGCCGGUAAGGGGCUGGGUACAACCCGGGUAACUGGGUUUGGUAUAUUGAGUACAGCCGGUAAGGGGCUGGGUACAACCCGGGUAACAUGGUUGGGAUAUUGAGUACAGCCGGUAAGGGGCUGGGUACAACCCGGGUAACAGGUUUGGGAUAUUGAGUACAGCCGGUAAGGGGCUGGGUUACAGCCAACGCAAGGCUAGGUACCACCUAGUAGAAGGUGGGAUUUUAUGUUUUUAUUGUGGACCUGGUAAAAGGUCGGAUUACAGAGUUACAGCCUAGUGAGGAAGGCUGGGGUUGUUACUAUUUGCUGUUUGGUGUGUGCUGUUUUAAUAUGUACAUGGCCAUAUUACUCUCUGUCAUUUUGUGGAUUCUGUUUAACUGCUGCUACAGUGUGGGUACCCUCGGUGUGUGCGUUUGUGUAGUGUGGCUGAUCCUGGAUUCCGGGGUUUACACUCAUCUCUGUGUGUGUGAUUUCUGUAAAUGCCUUUUGGUUAGUAAAAAAUACAAAAGAAUCGUGUGUUAACAAUGCGCUUAGUACGAUAUACAGUAAAUAUAGACAGCAGCUACCACUUUAAAUAGGGACUCUCCACCCUAUAAAUAAACAUAGAACAUCAAGUGAACACUCGGUGAGGAAUUGACAGAAAACCACCCCUGGUGUGUAAGUGGAGCGCUCAAAAUAUAAUACACUCACCCAUAUGGGUAUAUAUACAAAUGUAUAUGCAAACUUCAGAAAUAACGUGUCUAGAACAAAUAUAAAUACAAAAAAGGAUGGUGCAAAUAACGUCACAAGAUAAAUACAAUAGUGAAAUGGUCUUAUAGAUUCACUCACAUGACUGAGCCUUCUAGGAUAGGCUCAGAUCACAACAGCGGAUGUGUUCUUCUGGCGACACCAAACCCAAGAACGACUCUCUACCUGUCAGUUGAUCCCUUGCAUGGAAGAGGAACACAGGGGAGAAAAAAAGAAUCCUACUGUAGCAUGUCUCAAUAAUGGAGAGUAAAUGUAUAAUAUUGGCUUCUCACCUGUUAAGGAGCCCUACACCUGGCUCUCAGUAUAUAGGUGUAUGUGCCUUUAAGGAGGCUACCACCCUUCUUUAGCAGCAAAAAUGGAAGAUGAGUAUCAGAUUAAAAAUUGAAUUUAAUAUGUAAACAAUAUACAAAUAAAAAUAAACAAAAUUAUAUAAAUAUAAUAAAAAGUAUAUGUAGAUACAAAAUAUAUAUCAAGAGUAAAGAUUCUCUUAUCUUCCAGCCGAGACGCGUUUCGCUGUAUUAAGACAGCUUUCUCAAUCAGUGUUAUAUUAACUGCUGCUUGUGGUUUAAAUAUCCUGGUCUUGCUUGUGAUUCGUGCAAUAAUAAUCCAAUUGUCCAAUCCCUUUUCCUAGUAGUUGUGAAUGUUCCUAUUCUCGCGGGCUAUCGGUCUACUUCCGGUUUGACGGCGGCUCACAUGGUCCAUGCCGCGUCAAAAAAGGGGGCGUGUCUUUUCGCCGGCAACUUAUUCACAAGGGGGUCCAUUACAGAAGUGGGCAAGCGCCCAUAGUGGAGUCCAAUAAAUGUAAUCAUACCUCACAUCGUUAAAAAAGGGAAAAUAAAGAACACAUUGUAAUCAGCACAUAUAUUAGUGCUCUCAAAUAGCCUGUUGUAUCACAGUAAUAGUACUCAAUGUUAUUAUUUCUUCGCAGCAUAGACUGGACGAAUGGCUUCAUUGGUAUUGAUUUUCAUCCAGUGUACAUUGCAAAGUGAAAUUGGCAAUGGUAUCUAUAUAAAAGGUGUCAUUGCCAAAAUAUUUCAUAUUUAUACAAACAUUGCCAAUGUAUCCAUAAAGAAAGGAAACUUAUAAUAACAAUGCUUACAUGAGAACAAUAUGAUUAAAACAAUUCAUAUUUAGGUGUUAAGCCCUUAAAGUGCCAGUGUCCACUUUCACCAACAAGUGAAAAAAAGUGAAGAAAAGUGCUGAAUAUUAAACAUAUGGCCAAAUCCAAUAAACAAUACUGAUCCGCAACUAAUGAUUCUUAAAUAUAAUACUAAUAAUCCAUAAAAAACUAUGUUAAAAAGUGGCAAAGUUCAAAAUCAUCGUUCAGGCCAUUGGGCUGCAUAGUGUUUAGAUUAAAAAUCCACUGCAUUUCUUUUUUACCCAAUUUCUUAAUAAAAUCUCCCCCCCUCCAAUCUGGUACUAUUCUCUGUAUUGCAUGGAAUUGUAAUCCAGCGGGGUCACUAUUGUGUUUAUUUUUAAAAUGCAAAGAAACACUAUGUUUUUCAAAACCAUUCCUAAUGUUUCUAAUAUGCUCCUGUAUUCUGGUAUGUAGGUUCCUUUUCGUACGUCCUACAUAUGCCAGUCCACAAGGGCAUAUCAGAAGGUAAAUGACUUUUGUGGAUUGGCAUGUAAUCAAUUCCUUUAUUUUAAAUGAAAUUUUCACAUUAUGUGGAUGUAAAAACUCCUUUAUUUUUCUCUUCUUACUUCCAGAGUUUCUACAAGCCCCACAAUGUCCACAACCAUAAAAACCUUUUGAUUCGUUUAAAAAAUUACUUUUAUGUCUUCUUGGAGGAAUAUGGUUAGACGUCAAAGUGUUUUUCAAAUUCUUCACACCUAUAUAGACUAUUCUUGGCUUCUCAGGGAGAAUACUAGUUAAAAGGGGAUCAUUUCUUAAAAUCGGCCAAUAUGUCGAAACUAUUCCCCUAAAAUCUUUGCUUUUACAAUUAAAAUCACAAAUCAAUCCUAGUGUUUGGACCUCUUCCUUACUCCUAACGUUAUACUUAAUAAGAUCUUUUCUGUCUUUUAGUUCUACUUCUUUAAGUGCCCUUGUCAAUAAUACCUCAUUGUACCCUUUUUCUUUAAAAUCCUCCAUAAUUUUGUGAGAUUGUGUUUGAAAUACUAACUCAUCUGUGCAGUUACGUCUUAUCCUAAGUAAUUGCGCUUUCGGGGCAUUCAAUAGCCACGGAGAGAAAUGACAGCUUUUCUCUUCAAUGUAGCUAUUGACAUCUACAGGUUUAAAGUAAGUGCAGGUUUUCAGUGCAUUAUUUUCCACAUAAAUCUGUAGGUCAAGAAAUUCAACUUGGCUUGUACUGUAGUUGAAUAAUAAUUUGAUGCCCCAAUCAUUGCUGUUCAAAUAGGUUAAAAAAGACUCUAGAGAGGUUUCAUCUCCCUGCCAGAUAAAAAAUAUAUCAUCUAUGUAACGACGAUAGGCUACGAGGUUCGCGCUCCAUUCGCCUUCACUGUAUAUGAAAUACUGUUCCCAUAAAGCCAUGAAUAAAUUAGCGUAACUCGGCGCGAACCUCGUGCCCAUCGCCGUUCCACAUAUCUGUAAAUAAAAGGAGUUAUUAAACCAAAAAUAGUUGUUAUUUAAUAUCCAUCUGAUGCUCCUGACUAGAAAGUCUAUUUGUCCACUAGGGAAUGUUCCUGUUUCCUGUAAAAAAUGCUCAGUGGCUUGGCACCCCUUGUCGUGUGAAAUAAUAGCGUAUAGUGAACUCACGUCUGCUGUCACUGAAAAACUACCUUCUUUCCACUGGUGAUUAGUCAAUAAUUGGAGAAUGUUGGAAGUAUCUUUGAGAUAACUUGGACUCUUUAUAACCACUGGUUGAAGGCAUCUAUCAACAUACUGGGAUAGUCUGCUCGAAAUCGAGCCUAUCCCAGAUACGAUGGGUCUACCAGGAGGUUUUUGCUUAUCCUUGUGGAUCUUGGGGAGGUGGUAGAAAACUGGUAUUUUGGGUUGUGUCACAUUUAGAAAUUUAUAUUCCUUCUCAUUUAAAAUACUGGAUUCUCUUCCCUCCUCUAUCAAAUUCUCAUAUGUGGUUCUAAAGUCAUUAGUGGGAUCAUUCUUUAAAAUCUUAUAUGUUUGUUCAUCCCCUAGGAGUCUAUAGGCCUCUUUAAUGUAAUCCUCUUUAUCUUGGAUGACAAUGCCCCCCCCUUUGUCUGCUGGUUUUAUUAUCAGCGAGUCGUCCUGCCUUAAAUCCUUCAGUGCUUUUCUUUCUCCAAAAUUGAGAUUAAACUGUUUUUGCUUAGGAUCUUUUAUUUUCCCUAUAUCUUUCAUUACCAUUUUCUCAAAGGUUAUCAUCUCGUCAGAGAUACAAAACUUAGGGUAAAACAAAGAUUUAGCUUUGAGUUCCGUGUGUACAGCUUCGGAAUUUGUUAUGUUUUAAUUUAUCCUAUCGAUAGGGUUUUUUUAAAAAAAAUUUCUUUAAGCACAUAUUUCUCUUAAAUCUAUUCAAAUCUACAUAGACACUGAAUUUAUCAAGUGCCUUUGUAGGCGCAAAUUUUAGCCCUUUCUCCAAUAGGUUCAAUUGGGGAUUGGUCAGAAUCUUAGAUGACAGAUUAAAAACGCCUUUUCCUUUUAUUCUCUGACUUUCUUUCCUUUUUUGUAGAUGAAUUCCUCCUCUAUUUCCCCGUCCUCUAUACUUCGUUCUCUUUUCCCAGGAGUGUUUAGGACAAUUUUGUUGUCUUUGUGCCUGCCCCUCAAGUGGUUCUCCCAAAAAACCUCCUCCUGAUGAUGAGUGUUCAGAGCACUAAAUCUAUUCUGAGUAAAUGGUUCCUUCUUGGCUACACUAUGAAUAGAUCUAUCUCUAGGGUUCAAUGUACUUUUUUCCAUUAGUUGUUGGUCAUGUAUAUAGGUUUUCCUCCUCACUAUUGGUUCUGGCAAUUGUCUAGGUUCUCUGGAGUCCAUAUCGGACAUGUCUCUCCUUCCCCUAGGUGUAUUUAUCCGCCUUUCAGGAUUGCGGUUCCUAUAUAUUGGCAUUUUUACCGGUUCAGGUGAUCUUUUUUGUUCCCUAAGCAUCCUGCUGGGUGUCCUAUUGGAUGCCCUGUUAGGUGUUCUACCUCUGCCUCUAAAUGGGUUUCUACGUUGUGGUGACCAUUUUCUACGUGUGGACAUGUCUCUCCAUUUAGGUUGUUCUAUUGGCCCACCCAUAUACUCUUGGUUUGAAUUCACAAUUCUGGGUCUAUAAGAUGGUCCUUUGGUAAUAUAUUUAUCAUGAUAUUGAUAAUUAUUUUUAGUGAAGGUUCUAAUCUCACCUUUUUCAUAAUCAGUUUUAUCCCUCAAAUAUUUUCUUUUUUAAACCUCUAUUACUCCCUUCUCAAGCUUAUCCAAAUUAUUGUAAUGUUCUGGAGUCAUAUUUGUAGUUAGGAAGGUUUUCAACAUAUUUAUCUCUACAUCCAAUUUUAUCAGUGUUUCUUUCCUUCUUUUUAUGAUAAGAUCUAUUAGUCCAAAAGAGAAGCUCUCUAAUAGGUCAGUCCACUCCUUUAAAAACUCCUCCUCCUCCUAAUCAAAGGAUGGGUUUUUGGAGAAUCUAAGACCUCUUGGUGUUAUCUCUUCUCUUUUAUACUUCUCCAGAGUGGCUAUUUCCCACUGAAUUUUGAUCUCUCUGCCUAGAGUUUAAUAAUGGCGGCGAUGGGCACGAGAUUCGCACCGAGUUACGCUAAUUUAUUCAUGGCUUUAUGGGAACAGUAUUUCAUAUACAGUGAAGGCGAAUGGAGCGCGAACCUCGUAGCCUAUCGUCGUUACAUAGAUGAUAUAUUUUUUAUCUGGCAGGGAGAUGAAACCUCUCUAGAGUCUUUUUUAACCUAUUUGAACAGCAAUGAUUGGGGCAUCAAAUUAUUAUUCAACUACAGUACAAGCCAAGUUGAAUUUCUUGACCUACAGAUUUAUGUGGAAAAUAAUGCACUGAAAACCUGCACUUACUUUAAACCUGAAGAUGUCAAUAGCUACAUUGAAGAGAAAAGCUGUAAUUUCUCUCCGUGGCUAUUGAAUGCCCCGAAAACGCAAUUACUUAGGAUAAGACGUAACUGCACAGAUGAGUUAGUAUUUCAAACACAAUCUCACAAAAUUAUGGAGGAUUUUAAAGAAAAAGGGUACAAUGAGGUAUUAUUGACAAGGGCACUUAAAGAAGUAGAACUAAAAGACAGAAAAGAUCUUAUUAAUUAUAACGUUAGGAGUAAGGAAGAAGUCCAAACAUUAGGAUUGAUUUGUGAUUUUAAUUGUAAAAGCAAAGAUUUUAGGAGAAUAAUUUUGAAAUAUUGGCUGAUUUUAAGAAAUGAUCCCCUUUUAACUAGUAUUCUCCCUGAGAAGCCAAGAAUAGUCUAUAGAGGUGUGAAGAAUUUGAAAAACACUUUGACGUCUAACCAUAUUCCUCCAAGAAGACAUAAAAGUAAUUUUUUAAAUGAAUCAAAAGGUUUUUAUGGUUGUGGACAUUGUGGGGCUUGUAGAAACUCUGGAAGUUAGAAGAGAAUAAUAAAGGAGUUUUUACAUCCACAUAAUGUGAAAAUUUCAUUUAAAAUAAAGGAAUUGAUUACAUGCCAAUCCACAAAAGUCAUUUACCUUCUGAUAUGCCCUUGUGGACUGGCAUAUGUAGGACGUACGAAAAGGAACCUACAUACCAGAAUACAGGAGCAUAUUAGAAACAUUAGGAAUGGUUUUGAAAAACAUAGUGUUUCUUUGCAUUUUAAAAAUAAACACAAUAGUGACCCCGCUGGAUUACAAUUCCAUGCAAUACAGAGAAUAGUACCAGAUUGGAGGGGGGGAGAUUUUAUUAAGAAAUUGGGUAAAAAAGAAAUGCAGUGGAUUUUUAAUCUAAACACUAUGCAGCCCAAUGGCCUGAACGAUGAUUUUGAACUUUGCCACUUUUUAACAUAGUUUUUUAUGGAUUAUUAGUAUUAUAUUUAAGAAUCAUUAGUUGCGGAUCAGUAUUGUUUAUUGGAUUUGGCCAUAUGUUUAAUAUUCAGCACUUUUCUUCACUUUUUUUCACUUGUUGGUGAAAGUGGACACUGGCACUUUAAGGGCUUAACACCUAAAUAUGAAUUGUUUUAAUCAUAUUGUUCUCAUGUAAGCAUUGUUAUUAUAAGUUUCCUUUCUUUAUGGAUACAUUGGCAAUGUUUGUAUAAAUAUGAAAUAUUUUGGCAAUGACACCUUUUAUAUAGAUACCAUUGCCAAUUUCACUUUGCAAUGUACACUGGAUGAAAAUCAAUACCAAUGAAGCCAUUCGUCCAGUCUAUGCUGCGAAGAAAUAAUAACAUUGAGUACUAUUACUGUGAUACAACAGGCUAUUUGAGAGCACUAAUAUAUGUGCUGAUUACAAUGUGUUCUUUAUUUUCCCUUUUUUAACGAUGUGAGGUAUGAUUACAUUUAUUGGACUCCACUAUGGGCGCUUGCCCACUUCUGUAAUGGACCCCCUUGUGAAUAAGUUGCCGGCGAAAAGACACGCCCCCUUUUUUGACGCGGCAUGGACCAUGUGAGCCGCCGUCAAACCGGAAGUAGACCGAUAGCCCGCGAGAAUAGGAACAUUCACAACUACUAGGAAAAGGGAUUGGACAAUUGGAUUAUUAUUGCACGAAUCACGAGCAAGACCAGGAUAUUUAAACCACAAGCAGCAGUUAAUAUAACACUGAUUGAGAAAGCUGUCUUAAUACAGCGAAACGCGUCUCGGCUGGAAGAUAAGAGAAUCUUUACUCUUGAUAUAUAUUUUGUAUCUACAUAUACUUUUUAUUAUAUUUAUAUAAUUGUUUAUUUUUAUUUGUAUAUUGUUUACAUAUUAAAUUCAAUUUUUAAUCUGAUACUCAUCUUCCAUUUUUGCUGCUAAAGAAGGGUGGUAGCCUCCUUAAAGGCACAUACACCUAUAUACUGAGAGCCAGGUGUAGGGCUCCUUAACAGGUGAGAAGCCAAUAUUAUACAUUUACUCUCCAUUAUUGAGACAUGCUACACUAGGAUUCUUUUUUCUCCCCUGUGUUCCUCUUCCAUGCAAGGGAUCAACUGACAGGUAGAGAGUCGUUCUUGGGUUUGGUGUCGCCAGAAGUACACAUCCGCUGUUGUGAUCUGAGCCUAUCCUAGAAGGCUCAGAGUCAUGUGAGUGAAUCCAUAUAGACCAUUUCACUAUUGUAUUUAUCUUGUGACGUUAUUUGCACCAUCUUUUUUUGUAUUUAUAUUUGUUCUAGACACGUUAUUUCUGAAGUUUGCAUAUACAUUUGUAUAUAUACCCAUAUGGGUGAGUGUAUUAUAUUUUGAGCGCUCCACUUACACACCAGGAGUGCCUUUUGGUUAGUGUUGCCACGUUUAUCUUCUCCUUUGUUCUUUACCUCUCCUGUGUCUGUUGCCCAGAGCUGUGUUAGUCACCCACACUCGCUCGCUCCGGUUCAUGGCCACUAUCUCGGGUGGGCGGACCCUCGUGACUAGUCUACGUUUGGGGAAGACGCAUGGGACCCAAGUCCCCGUGGCAGUCGAGCACUGUAGACAUUCCUAUUUCUUUUUCUCUAUAUAUCUGUCUCUUACAUGUGGCUCUCUUUGUUUGGUUAAGAUGGGGCAGGAACACGCUAGACCUGCUAAGGGAUUCUUGGCUUGUGAUAUUGUAGAAGAAAGAGCAGGGGAAGAUGCAAUGUUGAAAAUUAAGAAAAUAGCCAAGGAAUGUGGCUUCCAAAUGUCGCCUAGUGGUAGGCUGCAACCCGAGUUCUGGAGGAAACUGCUUGUAGAUAAGGAGGGUUUAUUGCUGGAUAAUGGGUUGACAAAAGCAGUAGAGGCUUGGUAUCGGGUCGCUAGAGGUCUCAAACGGGAGGGUUGGAAAGAGGAAGAAUUAGACUUUGAGGGACCAACGAUUUACGUGUAUCACCGAAAUGUUUGUAAUGACGAUGUAUCUCCCACUGCUUUCCGACCACCGCCCUAUGAUGGCGCCCAGAGCGUGGUGAUUAACUCCCGCCAAGCUUCCCCCAUUAACGCCCAGACACCCACCCCCCUGUGUCCUGUGCUCGGAGCCGAUGGAGCCUAUUACUACCCAGUGCCAAUACAUUCCUUCCCACAUGCUCCUACGCCCCAGUCAUUUUCCCAGCUUCCCACUGUCCCCGACCAGGCCCUGUCAUUGCCCCUCUUCCCAGUCGCCCCCUCUGAUGUCCCUCCACCUCCUUGUCCUCCGCCUCUCCCACCGUCCUUACCUGCUCCCACCUCAGCCCUUCCUCCCCCACUCCCGAUCCAGCCCCGUCAGCUCCUGCUCUCCCUCCCAAUGUCCCUGCCCCGCCCCCUACUACCCUGACUGCCCCAGUCUGUUCGUCCCCUAACACUCCUGUCGCCUCGUUAUCCUCCUUCCUCUCUUCUGUUUCUGCUGCUCUUGCAACUCCUCAUCCCCCGACACCUAUCCCUCCCCCCCGCACCUUCCGAUUCUUCUUCCUCUUUUACUGACUCCUGGUCCCUUCUCUCCGCUAUCUCAGCCCCUCCCCCUGCGUUCUCUGAUUCUUCUUCUUCCUCCUCUACUCCUCCUACUGACCUCCCGUCCCUUCUUUCCGCCCUCUCAGCCCUAAACCAUCCUACUAUCUCCACCCCUACUAUUCCUACCCCUCCUCCUGCAUCUGCCGAUUCUCCUUCUCCUUCCUCCCCUCCUAAUGACCUCUAGUCCCUCCUCUCCGCCCUCUCAGCCUUAACCCAUCCUACCAUCCCCACCCCUACUACCCCUAUCCCCCCCUGCAUCUUCUGAUUCUUCCUCUUCCCCUCCUCAUACUGACCUUUUGUCCCUUCUCUCCGCCCUCUCAAACCUAACCCAUCCUACUAUCUCUGCUCCUACUACCCCUACUCCUCCCACUACGUCCUCUUCAUCCUCUCCUCCUACUGACCUCUCAUCUCUUCUCUCCGCCCUUACAGCCUUAACCCGUCCUACUACUCCCGCCCCCUCCACUCCUAUCCCUUCCCCUACCACCUCUGAUUCCCCCCCUCCUUCCACUGACCUGUCGUCACUUCUUUCCGUCUUCUCAUCUUUGGCUCGUCCCACUACUCCUGUCCCUCCUCCUACACCUCUCGAUGCUACAGCCACGUCACAACCCCCUACUUCGGGUCCUCCUGCUUUGCCUUCCCCCUCCCCACUACCCCCUGACCCUGACUCUGCCUUAGCUCUUAAAUACUCACUUGUCACGUCCGACCCAACCUGCCCCCACCCCUGCCCCUUCCAUGGCUCUGGUUUCCUAUACCCCCCCCUGUGAGCACUAGCUACCCACUUAUGGUGGUCAGUUCCGAUGAGUCAGUAACUUCGGGCCAACCGUAUGCGAUGGGUGUCUCCCAGCCAGCCUCAGGCUUCCAUCCUACCACGUCACCUAUCACGGGACUCCCGACCCCUGCCACUCCGGCCGUUCCAGCCCCCGCCUCCCUUGAUGCUGCUUCCCAUCAGGGCCCCGUUACUCCCGGGGCGGUUGAUGUAGGAGAGCAUGGCCCACUCCACCCUCUGAGUAAUAGACUCCUACGGAGACAGAUCACCUCCGGAGUGCACCCCCAGGUAUCCCCUGUCGCUGAAGGUGCUCCACCUAUGUAUGUCACGUUUUACCCCUCACAAGCUGCCACCUUGGUUACUUCCCUCCCUGACCCAAAGAAACAUCCAAUGUCCUUCUUCCGCAGAAUGGCUCAAAUUCGCAAAACGUACUCCGCUGCUUGGCGGGAUCUCUAUAGUUUCUGUGAAAUAAAAGCUGGUGAUGCCUACUGGCCAAUAAUGGCGAGGAGUUUCACUGAUGCUCCUCUUACCACAGAUACAGACUUCCAGUCCGGAAUUACAUUUUGUGAGCAACUCCGUGCUUGGGCACAAGACAAGUUAGUUGACCAGGCCACUUGCAUAAAUGAUAUUGUUCAGGACAAGCUUGAGUCAGUUGAGAAAUAUCAUUCACGUCUAACCCAAACCUUUUCAGACUUAGGGUUUAGUACAUAUAACAAAGCACACACCCAGAUGUUAUCUGCAGCCUUUGUGGCUGGUCUGAAGGAACACAUCCGUAAAGGUUUAAUCCUCUCACGCCCAGAGUAUAGAAUCAUCCCCCUAGACACCCUUUUGUUGGUUGCUAAGGGUUUAGAGUCAGUGUUACAACCUGUACAGAGAAGAGCUAACCCACUGAUGUUUACCGCCACAACACCUAUCACUGGACCUGCCCAUGCCACCCAAGGCUACGUGCCACAGACCCCAACUCCUACACGAGACCGGACACCCACGGCAACCAGGACCUGUUAUAAUUGUCACAGGUCGGCCACUUCCGGAGGGAUUGUCCCCAUCCAAGGAUGUUCCGGCCACUGCUCCCCCGGUUCUCUAACCCUUCAGCCACUACUUAUUAAUAACUCCCUCCAGGGUACUUUCAGCCACCACCCCCUCCCCCAGUUCCCCAUUUUCCGCCUCCUGAAUAUUCACAGGCUCCCCCACCACCUUCAGAUGCCCAUGCUUAUCCUCCAGCUCCUGCUGACGGGUUUGACACUGAUGACUUCCAUCCCUAGACAGAGCCGUACUGCCCGCCCUGCCCUUCAAGCGAGCCUCCCUGCCACCUCCUCACGCCGUUAUACUGGCCCUGACCAGGCUCAUUUAGAUUUAUUGCAAUAGGUAACCGGCAAGCCAUGGCAGUGUCUACAGGGGAUGGGGGUGGGCCACUACUUUCCUAGUUGACACAGGUGCAGCCCGUAGUGUUCUUAGAGAACAAGACCUGCCUGACCCAUCCUUCCUGUCAGAUACCGAUGUCUCUUGUGUUGGAGUUGACGGUACCCCCCGCAGUAGCCCACUCACAAAACUCCUUCAUUGUGGGGUCAGAAAUCCUCUCCUGGUUUGUUGUCUCCUCCACGUGCCCCAUUAACCUCUUGGGUGCUGAUGUUCUGUCCCGUCUACAAGCGUCCAUUACCUUUACUGCAGACGGCCAAGUUCAGUUAAAUACACCCGUCACGGAAAGAUACUUCAGCACUUUGUUCCCUCCCCAUACUACUACAUCUUGCAUCUCCCACAGGGGAAUCAAGGGUCCUUCAUGCCCCCAGUGCUCUGGACAAAAUCCCUGCAAAGCUCUGGUCCACUGGCCCGGAUGAUAUUGGACGCCUUAAAGCUCCCCCCGUUGUGGUCACACUACUGCCAGGAGUAGCGCCUCCCCGAAGAUCCCAGUAUCCACUGAAACCCACCCAGGCACUCGCCAUUUCCAAGUAAGUGGAAAACCUUCUAGCUAAAGAUGCCCUUGUCAAGUGUGUGUCACCAUGCAACACUCCCCUCUUCCCUGUUAAGAAGAAAACUGAAAAAGGGCAACCUGAUCAGUACCGCAUGGUCCAGGAUUUACGUGCUGUUAAUGAAGUAACUGUCAAGGAUACUGCAAUUGUUCCAAAUCCACAUACCCUGCUAAUGCAUUUUUCAGUGUGCCCCUGGACCCAUCCUGUCAACACCUCUUCGCCUUUACCCAUGAAGGUCAGCAAUACACAUGGACUGUCAUGCCCCAGGGGGCUCAAAAUUCCCCCACUCAGUUUGCCCGCGCCAUGUCAAUGGUUCUGGAACCCUGGCAAAAGGCUUACUCAGAUGUAGUCCUACUUCAAUAUGUUGAUGAUUUACUUCUCUGUGCUGCUGAACUCCAGACUGCUGAACGAGAUUCUGAGGAUCUCCUCUGCUUCCUUGCUGAAGAAGGCUGCAAAGUCUCCAAAUCCAAACUCCAGUGGUGCCAGCCCUCUGUGGUCUUCUUGGGACAUUGCCUCUCCCAUGGCACCCGUCACCUCACCAAACAAAAGGAUUUUGGCCAUCUUGAAUCUACCAUUACCUGCAGCUCAUUAGUCUCUCCAUGCUUUUUUAGGCCUCAUUACGUACUGCAGGUCCUGGAUUCCAGAAGCCUCCCAGCUAAUCCAACCCCUCUACGAUGCCCUGAAGAGCGAGCCCUUCUCACUCUCAACACAAGCUAUUGCCUGCUUCACUGCCCUGAAGAAAUCCAUUGCUUCUGCACCAACCUUGGGCCUACCGAACUAUCAGCUGCCCUUCAAGUUGUUUGUGUCUGAAAAAUUGGGCCACGCUUCCGGCGUUCUUACUCAAAAACAUGGCUCCAGACAGAGACCCAUUGGCUAUUUCUCCUGCAUGCUUGACCCUGUAGCCAGAGGUAGUCCCUCUUGCCUGAGGGCAGUGUUUGCUGCCAGUGCCUUGCUGGACAAAACCUAUGACUUUGUUCUUGGUCACACUCUGAAUGUCUUGGCUCCUCAUGACAUUUCUGCCAUCCUUCAACAGGUUCAACCCAGGCAUCUCUCUUCUCAACGUCAUCUACAUCUGCAAACUUCUUUAUUAUUACCUGACAACGUCACCCUCCAACGCUGCUACUCUCUGAACCCGGCCACUCUUCUUCCACUUCCCAAGGGGGGAGUAGCACAGUAUUGGUACAGCCUGGAUGUCAACCCAGAUGCCCGGAUGGAAUUUCAACUACCUACUCUUACACCUCCUGCACCUCCACAUGAUGUACAACCAGAGAACUUGUUACACUGUACCUUGUGGUUCAAAGACAGCCCAGGCCCUGAUGUGGACUAUGAAGAAGAAUUAUUUCAGCUCGUGGAAAUUCACAUCACACUGACAGACUUGUUGUGGGAUCCCAGAGGCAACAUGGUCCUGCUGGUACACAUCCCAACAGAAGCAUCCCACCUCUACCGACAUCGGGAGACAGCUGUCCCACACAUAUCCCUCACCAAGUCCCCUGAUCUCUCAUGGAAAGAUUUAGGCCCAAUGGCCAAGUCCUGGAGUGCAACAACCCAGGAACAACUUGACUCUAUGGGAGUAACUAAAAAGUACAGUUGGAUAUCCUAGAUACCAUACAGAGAUUUGUGAAGACCUAUCCUCCAUGGAACAAGACUCAUAAACCCCUCAUGAUUGCUUUGAACAGAUGAAGAUGGAAACUACCCAAUUACCAACUGUACACGAGACUGCUCUACUUAAUCCAGAUCAAACACUGUUCGUGGAUGGUUCCAGAUUUGCCGUUGAACAAGGGCAAUAUCACACUGGGUAUGCAGUUACCACAGAAAGCCAAAUACUACAGACAGCCGCACUUCCGCCAACCAAAUCAGCUCAAGAAGCCGAGCUAACAGCCCUCACAGUAGCCUGCAAACUAUCUGAAGGUCUACGUGUCAAUAUUUAUACAGACUCAAGAUAUGCCCUGGGAGUGGCACAUGAUUUUGGCCUGAUUUGGAAAACUAGAGGAUUUCUCACAGCUACCGGUACUCCGGUGAAACAUGGGGCGGCCAUUGAAGGACUGAUGGUUGCUUUGGUACUUCCUGCAGAAGUGGCAGUGUUAAAAGUGAAAGCUCAUGGAAGACUAAAUUCAGAGGAAGCACGAGGCAACCACUUAGCUGAUCAAGCCGCCAAAGAAGCAGCAAGACAAAGGUGGAAAGUGGACAGAAGAGUGGCCACUGAAACAACACCCAUCUACACUAUGCAGACAUUACCUACAGAUCUUAGACUUCUAAAGGAGCAACAAGCAGCUGCCACCCCUCAAGAGAAACAAAGUUGGAAGAACAGAGGGGCUAUCCUCCGAGAUGAUGUUUACACCAUCAAUCUUAAGUUCUGCCUACCCAAGAACAUGUAUCCAGCUGUUGUCCAAUGGGCCCAUGGGCCAGCCCACCUGUCAAAACAUUUGAUGAACUCUGAUUGAUAAAUACUCUGAAGCACCAGGUAUUACUACUCUGAUGCAGAACUAUUGUAGAUCUUGUAGAAUUUGUGCUAAAUGCAACCCUGGAAAGAUAGUUAAAACCGCACCCAAUCACUUGGCCAAGCCCCAGUACCCUUUCCAGAGGAUACAGAUUGACCACAUCCAGAUGCCAAAGAGUGGACGUUAUGAAUAUGCAUUAGUCAUUGUGGAUAUGUUCUCAGGGUGGCCAGGAGCUUUCCCAGUGGCUAAUCUUAUCGCAAUGACCACAGCUAAACAUCUUCUGAUGGAAAUUGUCUGCCGGUAUCCUUCACCGCCUCAUUGACACAGGAAGUCUGGUCAGCACUGGGGGUGACCCUUGCCUUCCACACACCAUAUCACCCACAGAGUAGUGGUAAGGUAGAAUGCAUGAAUGGCACAUUGAAGGCCAGAAUGCUUAAGAUGUCCCAAGAAACUAACAUGCCCUGGCCUGAGAUUCUUCCAUUAGCAUUAUUUAGUGUAUGGUACACCCCUAGGUGAAAAUACAACUUAUCUCCCUAUGAGAUCCUGUUCGGCACAGCACCAAGGUUAGGUUGUUACUUCCCCCAACAACUCCAGAUUCAGUCAGAUGUUAUGGUAUAUUAUGUAACCUCUCAUGCCUUGACCAAAAUCCAUGCCCAAGUGUUUUCUUCUAUUCCAGAUCCUGAGUCGAAUACAGGUACACACAAGUUGCUCCCCGGUGACUGGGUUAUGGUCAAGAAAUUCCUCAGGAAACAUACCCUUGAGCCAAGAUUUGAUGGUCCUUACCAAGUGCUACUGAUUACAACUACCUCGGUGAAACUGGCAGGAAAGAGUUCCUGGAUACACGCCUCACACUGCAAGAAAGUGCCUGCUGCAGAAGAAGUCACCCCUGCCGAGCUAUGAGUUUUCUGUGUUCCUUGUGUUUUCUCUUGCUGCUAAUGUGUUUUAUCUUGCUGCUAAACUUUACAGGGGCUCAACAAGUGGCUAUAACUAAAGAUAACCAUGUUUAUACCUUUUGGUACAAUUCCUCAAACACAGAUGUGGCUACCUUUUCUUUUGAUUAUUGUGAUAUUGUCACCUGCACCUUUCCACAAACACAAUAUGCUGCUAUAUACAAGGACAUACCCAGUAAAAAGGACCCAUAUAUUUACGUAACGGGGUGGUCAUGGGGGCAUCAUUGGUUAGUUCAUGGAAGGCGGCUGGGUGGAACACGGGUAGACCAUGGGGCUAUAAGCCCCAGAGCACCCUAGACAGAAUUGACCAAGACGGGAAGUCCCUACUCUCCAGAAUGACCUUAAGUAAACCUAUCGGGUUAACCCCCAUCAAACUCACACUGAACAUGGAGCACCCUAGUCCAAAAGAUGCGGGGGAAUAUAUAAUGGGCAUGUACUGGAGGGGCGGUGACUCAUACAACAAGUUGGGGACUUUCUAUCUGCAAGAUAUGCUUACCUCACCUGACUGGGUAGGAACUACUCACAUGACUGUUAACCCACUGAAACAACAUAUCAAGACUUUACAUGAUAUGGUAGCUAUAGCCAAUCCUACUUUCGAAGACACGAUGGCAGUGGAAACUGGGUUCUCAGACACUAACUUAUGGCUGGAAUGGAUGAGAUAUAACGCUAACUCACACAAUAAGACUAAUUGUUAUGUAUGUGGAGGAGCCAGGCCCCACCUGGGUACGGUGCCUUUAAACCUACCCCCCGAUGUUCAAUUAUGUGUCUUGAGUCUCUAUGCACAAUCCACUACUAAUUCUUCAACGUGUGAGUCAUGGAAAAAGGUCUACCCAAUCAUCCAGGGGCACGUUAGACCACCUGACUGAGUCACUGUAUACCCAGGUAACUACACUUGUUAUUCAAUACCUAAGAACACAGGUACAUUCAUGGGCAAAUUCCCAUCUGGUUAUUGCUCCACCUAUCAUAAUCCACCCAUAGCAUUAUUAAUGAAUCAUGCAAAAACAGUUGGGGACAUAUAUUGGCUAUGUGGAAAUAAACAACUAAGAUCCCAACUGGCGGGACUAUGGUGGGGAGAAUGUACUUUGACCAAAGCCAUAAUGCCCAUCCACAUUAUCCCGGAUGGCUAUCACAAUGCGUUAAACCCCGCACACACACACUCCAGAGCCAGGAGGGAAGCCCCAAUCUGAGGAAGCUUUGAUCCACAUGUUUGUAUUGAUGCCAUUGGUGUGCCAAGGUUGGUGCCCAACGAAUUCAAGGCAAGGGAUGAAGUGGCAGCCGGGUUUGAAUCUUUGAUUCCAAUGAUUACUGUUAAUAAGAAUGUCAAUUGGAUUAACUACAUCUAUUACAAUCAGCAGCGGUUUGUUAACUAUACCAGGGAUGCCCUACAGGGCCUAGCAGAACAACUACAAGCCACCACUCAAACGACAUUUCAAAAUAGAAUGGCUCUGGAUAUGAUCUUAGCAGAAAAGGGGGGCGUAUGUAAAAUCCUCCCAGAAACCAUGACAUGCUGCACAUUUAUUCCAGAUAACACUGGGCCCAAUGGUAAGGUAACUAUGGCUAUAGAGAAAUUAGAUAGCCUCUCUGAUGAACUAAGAAAGAACUCAGGAGUCAUUGAUACCUGGGACAGAUGGUUUGGAUGGAUGAAUGGUUGGCAGAGAACCCUAUUCUAGGUUGGGACAGCAGUUCUCGUAAUGAUUGUGAUCUUCCUAUUUUUAACCUGUUGUGUACUUCCUUGUAUACAAAAGUACUUACAGAAGACAGUAGGGAAGACUAUAGACAACGUAACCCCUACUUUCCUACACCAGGACGUCACUGACCUAGAAUGUGACACACCACAUACACCCCUCCAAUUUAAACAGACAACUGCGUUUCUAUAGGGAUAGCAUAGGGAAAGCGUCUGUCUCUACAGGCAAGUCUCACGUGCGGAGAUGUGGUGGACUAGCUACCGCGGGUUACCCACGGAGUGAAGAGUUCGAUGCUUGUUAAGACAGAUGAGCUGCAGGCAGCUAGAGACAUUCUAGGGACAGUAGCAGUUGUUAUGGUCAAUAGCCAUUUUAAGGGUGGACUGUUGUGGAAAUGAGAUAUUGACAUUUUCUAGUUAGUAAAAUGCCUAUUUACUCAUUUAACUGAAAUCAGUGUAUAAGCUAUUCACGCAUAUUUAGACAAAAUGGCCACUAGAAGCUUCUAACCCCUCCCUCCCUAUAACACCAACUAACUACCUCGUGUAACAAGAUGGCACUGGAAUCCGGGGAUGACCCUCAUGGUUCCAGUGACAUCACCCUUAGUAGGCAGAGCAUUAAGAAGACCACUUAACACUUAACCAAUUAUUGAUGUAUUAUUUCAUGUUAUCUCUGACAAUGCUUAUGAUGUAAUUUUGCUUUAAAAGGGACCUGCCGUCCCCUCUGAAUAAACAUUCCUCAAGUUAUUCAUCAACCUGAAACCUGUGUCUAGUGUGAAUUACUUCAGGGAGCAUGCACGCAUUGUUUCUUAAUUUGGCCAGGGGCAGAUACACAAAGAAUAAUCAAUUUAUUUAUUGAUUUCCAUUUCAAUUAUAGACACCGAAAAAGUGUUUGAUCGGCUAAAUUGGAUCUAUAUAAAAGUCAUUCUGUUGAAACUGGGCAUUCCAGCUUAUUUUCUAACUAGCAUUAUGGCUCUUUACUCCUAGCCCUCAGCUAGGAUCAUUAACUCUGUUUUUUUUAGCUGACCCAUUUAAUAGGCACCCGUGAGGGCUGUCCACUUUCACCUCGGCUUGGAACUGCUAGUCAGGCAUAUUAAAUCACAUACCAACAUAUCAUGGUUAGAAACACCCACACAAGAGCACAAAAUUGCUCUCUUCAUGAUAUCCUACUAUUCAUUACCCAUCCAGAACGCUCUAUUCCCAACUUAUUGUCUCAAUGAGACAGGUACAGUACAAUUUCAUAUUACAAAAAUGCAAAAAAGAGACAGGCCCUACCCAGUGGUGUAUCCUAGUUUUGUGCUGCCCUAGGCAGGACAAAACUCAGGCACCCCCCCGUGAUACCCCCACCCGCGCAACCGCCACCCAACCCUUCCCCCCUGCUCCGCCUUCUAAAUACACACACACACACACUGACAGAUACGCAUUCACUAGCUAACAGACACACACACACACACACUAACAGACACACACACACACACUAACAGACACACACACACACUGACACACACACACACACUAACAGACACACACUAACUUGUGUUUUUUUUGUAUUUAACCCCCCUAGCCUCCUUACCUUUGGGAAUGCUGGGGGGGUUCUUUCUGUCCCUGGGGUCCUGGGGUCCAGUGGCUGCAGGGCGGGCGGGCGGGCAGCCGGCGAGGGAGCUCUUCCCAUGAGCGCUCUGCUCAGCUCCCUCGCGCGCCGCCAGCAGAGUGAGGGUGGGAGCCCGGUUGAUGACGUCAUAUUCCGGCUCCCACCCUCACUCUGCUGUCGGCGCGCGAGGGAGCUGAGCAGAGCGUUCAGGUGAAGAGCUCCCUCGCCGGCCGCCCGCCCAGCGCUGCCCGCUCGUAAUGUCUGUUAGCCACGAGGCUAACAAGGCAUUUGCCCUGGGCAUUUGGGGGUGGCUUUUUUGCUGCCCCCUGAAAAAUGCCACCCAAAGCAAAUGCCUUGUUUGCCUCGCGGCUAAUACGCCCCUGGCCCUACCCAUUGGCCUUCCUAAAACAACAACAUACACAUUACAAACGUCCUAUUUGAUUGGCGCAGCGUCUCCCUAAAAUAUCUGGGGAUCAAACUAAAAACUCUAGUAGACUCAUUCAGGAAAUUCAUGUAUCAGUUGCUAAUAAACUACACACACAAUUAAAUGCAUGGAGAGACCUAUACAUCUUGUGGUUAGGAAGAAUACAUACCUUCAAGAUGAUGAUCUUGUCUCACACUUUUAUCUUUUCAGAACACUCCCUGUGACGAACUACACUUUGUCACUGGUUUUUGGAGGGGCUUGCUUGCCCGUCUCCAACCCUGGGACUAUGGGCCCUGUGAUAACCCAUGUUCAAAAGUACUGUUUCUGCCCCUUGGACUUUUAACUGGAACAGAUUCAAACAUGUGGCGGCGGCCAUUUUAAAUUUUCCAGCAGUGUUUUGCCAUCGAGUGUAUGGAACUGUUUUGGGCAUGGGACCAUGUGCAUUGUGGGACAAAAAUAAGACUUCCAGAAAAUCCAUGAACCCCUGAACCAAUCUGGUUGAUUUUUGGAUAUGUUGUUCACCCAGAUCGGGGCUAUCAGGGGAUGUGUUUUAUUUUGGGGUACUUUUUAGGGUUUGUAAAAAUGUAUGUUUUUUUCUGCUAAAGUUAAUUGAGUUAGUUCAUUGUCUUUGUUAAUUGUAUCACAGGCAGAGUGGAGGGUUUGUGUAAAGUAACUGGGUGUGUUCAAAUGUAAAACUCUGGUUUUUAUUGGAUUGUGCAUUUCAUGUCCUGUGCCCAACAAGGUCCACGUGGGCGGUAACCUUGUGGGGAAAUACUGUAUAAAAGAAGCAGCUGUCCCAUUAAACCUUCAGUUCUACUUCACCCUCAAUCUAGAGUCCUGUGUCUUAUUGGGGGAAUCUGCUACAAGGGAUUGCUAUGCUCUUCAUACUUCCUUGAAUAAUCACUAGAGCCUGUUCCUGUUCCUGCUUCACUCUCUGGGGAAAGAGAGGUUCACCCACCAAUCUUGUCGUAGGGACAGGGUGGGUAGGAGACGGCGAGCCCCCAACCAAGCUGCGGUGGUUCGUGGGGUCUGCAGUGCUUAUGGUAUCAAGUGGAGUGCUUGGAGCCCUUGGGAAGCACUAGGAGCAUCCAUCAAUGGAGGUACCCAGUCGGGGUGCCAGGUGAUCCGUUACACUCCCCAUAGCUCUACCUAACAGCAUGUUGUGCAAAUUUCAAUUGAUUUUAAGUGCUUACAUUUGGAAAAUGAAGCCUCCUCGAAUACCAAGGAAUCUUUCUUGGUUACCAUUUCAGAAAGAGGGACUGGGUGUACCUGACAAAGUAUAAAGUCUCUGUGGUAGCACAGGGUAUAGCACUCCUAAAAGUGAAAGGUACGACACCGGUGUGGGCUCCCCUAGAAAAAGCAUGUCUCAAACCAAAGAAAUUAGAAGGGAAAUUAUGGAAGUUCUCUGCUUCAACACGUCACACUUCAAACAGCUUACCAUGUACGAAACUACUGAUUAUGGGCUGGUCAAAAUGGGCCAGACCACUAACGGAACUGGACAGUCCACUAGCCAUGGCACCCAUUAAUGAACUGUACUACACGCAAGGGAAGAGGGUGGGGUAGCGACAGUUGCUGAUCUGUGCUAGAGUGGCGAUGUCAGGUCUUUUCUAAUACUGCAGAGGACAUUUGACCUUCACCACAAGAGGUGGGUGUUUACCUUUCUUAGACUGAAACAUAUAAUAAAAUACAAACUUACAAAAGGAGCAGCUUCUAGUCUCUCCAGGCUGGGGCAAAGCUGUGUUAUCUCACAGAGCUAACGUAAGUAUUAUUAUUGCCAUUUAUAUGGCGCCAACAGAUUCCAUAGCGCUCUGCAAUAUUAUGAGAGGGGGAAUUUAACUAUAAACAGCACAAUUACAAGAACACUUACAGGAACGAUAGGUUGAAGAGGACCCUGCUCAAACGAGCUUACAGUCUAUAGAAGGUGGGGUAUAAAACACAUUAAAGAGAUGGGUUUUAAACCACUUCUUAAAUGAUUGAAGACUAUGUGAGAGUCUUAUCUCUCCAUAAACUACAAUGCUUUUCAUGAAAAGGAGGCAGAGAAGUGAGAAGGGAGUGGGACAAUCCCUCACAUAUUCUGGGAUUGCCCUAAAAUCAUUAAUUAUUGGAAGCAGAUACAGAGUCAACUUAGAACCUUUACUGUGAUAUGAAUAACCUUUCGUCCGGAGUGCUAUCUGCUCUGCGACAAACUCACUAUUUCUCAACUUUCUCAACUAAGCCCAGCACCUCGGGAAAGAGCUAUAUCCUCACGGUAGAUUAUGCUACCAGGUACUCCAAGGCUGUAGCUCUUUCUAAUAUAGAGGCAGAGACAGUGGCAGAGGCUCUGGUAAAGAUUUUUACUAGGGUUGGUUUCCCUAGGAAGAUUUUUGUCUGAUCAGGGGUCUCAAUUUACCGCAACUGUGAACCAACAGUUAUGGCAGAGUUGCGGAGUGAAAUCCCUGUUCAGCUCUCCCUACCAUCCCCAGAAAAACUGACUAAGUGAACGUUUUAAUGGCACGCUCAAACAGAUGCUUAAGACGUUCGCAGCCUCCUGUCAGUACUGGGAAAGAUUCCUUCCCCAUCUCCUGUUUGCCUUCCACAAAGUGCCCCAAGCAUCUACGGGGUUCUCGCCUUCAAAUUCCUUCGACUCCGACCGGGAGGAUCUGCAGGUGGCCUAACAACGCCAGAAAAGGUGGUACAAUAGAGGCGCCCAAGAUAGGGUCCUAGAAACCGUCUAAGAAAGCUUCAGACCGCCUGGCAGGGACCUCGCUGGGUAGUGGACCCCAAUAAGCAACACUACCUACAGCGUAGGGAAUAUGUUCAGAUCCUUUCAUGUGAACAUGCUCAAGCCCUACUUUAAAGCGGGUGGAGGACAUAGCGGCAGUAUGUGCCCUUUCAUUUGAGGAUAGCAAGGGUCUUCCCCUACCUGACUUGCUCGCCCCUUCCCCCGGUACGAUAGAGCAAGUCAGACUAGGUGAAAAAUUAAACCCCUUAGAGAAGGCAGAGGCCUCUCAGCUGCUCCAGGGAUACAGGGAAAUGUUUUCUGCCUUGCCAGGGUACACCUCCGCUGUGGCCCACCGAAUUGAGACCCAGGGAGAAACUCCUCUAUGGCAAUAACCGUACCGUAUCCCUGAGGCCGACAGAGAGAAUAUGCGGUCUGAGAUUCAGAAGAUGUUAAAGCUAGGAGUAUAGAGCUCCCUCAGAGCCCUUGGGCAUCUCCGGUAGUGCUGGUACCCAAGCGAGAUGGCACGACUCACUUCUGUAUUGACUACCGGAAGCUUAAUGACAGGACAGUAACCGAUGCCUACACCAUGCCCAGGAUAGAUGAGUUACUAAAUCGUAUGGAGGGGGUGAAAUACUUGACUACCCUAGAUUUGUGCAAAGGUUAUUGGCAAAUCUCCCUGGAGUUGGCAGCCAUUCCUAGGUCGGCAUUCACAACCCCACUUGGGCUAUACCAGUUUAGGGUUAUGCCCUUUGGGAUGAAGAAUGCCCCGAUGACCUUUCAGCGGAUGGCCAAUAGGCUUCUAGAGGGAUUUUAGGACUUCACAUGUGCAUACUUGGAUGAUAUUGCCAUCUACAGCCACACAUGAGAAGACCAUCUGGAACAACUAACCAUUGUACUGAAGUGAAUUCGGGCAGCGGGGCUCACUCUGAAACCUGACAAGUGCCAUGUCAGUAUGGCCGAGGUACAGUAUCUCGGCCAUAUGGUAGGGUCAGGCAAACAGCGAACCGAACCUGCCAAGGUGGAGGCUAUUGCCAACUGGCCCCAACCCUGUACCAAGACCCAGGUAUUAGCAUUCCUAUGAACCGUGGGAUACUACCGCAAGUUUGUUCCUGAGUACAGUGCCUUGGCCAAACCCCUCAACGACCUGACCAAAAAGUCCCUUCCCAGAGAGGUAGCAUGCUCCCCGGAGUGAGUGGCCUCUUUCCAGAAACUCAAAACGGCACUGAGCGAGGCACCUGUGUUGGCCGCACCAAACCAUACUAAAAAGUUUCUUGUCCACACAGAUGCCUCCAUGUUUGGGCUGGAAGUCAUGUUGAGUCAAGUGGGGAUGGAGAUGGAGAUGGAGAAGGAAUGCCUAGCUCUCAUAUGGGCAUUAAAGAAAAUACAACCAUACCUCUAUGGUCGCCCCUUUACUUUAAUGAUAGACCAUAACCCCCUCAUCUGGUUAAACUAAGUCGCUGGAGACAAUCCGCGUUUGUUAUGCUGGAGCCUGCCCUGCAACCCUACAAUUUCACCAUGCAGUACAGGCCAGGCAAACAGAACGGCAAUGAUGAUGGUUUGUCCUGGCAAAUGGAGUUGGAACCUUGACUGACUUCUCCGGAUAUCCCCAAGCCAACCCGGCAUGGUCUAGGCAGGUAUGCCGACCCAUAGAACUAAGGGGGAGCAAUGUGAAGAAACUACACAUUUUGUUCGUUAACUUUGAUUUUCUACAAAGAAAACCGCAGAUGAAGUUCUCUCUCUGUGUGGCCGCGUUCGUAUGGCCAAACGGCUGGAGAAAAUAGCAGCCAUAUUGUUGCAAGAAAAGAGGCAACAGGACUUGGUUGUCGAGUGUCUGAUACUAAAAUCGGACACUCAACUUCCCGAACGCUGGUCAACUUUGCGAACGCCUGCUUCUUUUAACCGACCAGCCAGGAGAGCGCUAUUCGGUAGGUUUGUUCCCACAAACUACCCAUGAGCCAGGGUAACAAUUCAUUGAUUUGUUCAGUUUAGAACUCCUGUAAUGAACAUACCACUACCUCUGAAACUGUGGAACUGUUUUAGGGCAUGAGACCAUGGGUGCGGUCGGUCAAAUAAGUGACUUCCAGGAAAUUCCCAAACCCCUCAACCGAUCUGGGUGAUUUUUUGGAUAUGUUGGUCACCCAGACCAUGGUGGGUAAACUGGGCUUGUUGGAGCACAAAUUGGUAGAGUGAGAGUUUGAAGAGCAAAUUGCACAAGCCGGUAGUACUAGCCCGGCAAAGUGGCAUCAGAACAAAUCCAGUGUUCAUGUGACUCCAAUCUAUCCUGAUGAUGAAAGGUUGCCGCUGCCUUGGCUGAAAAUUAUUUGUGAUAAUCAUAAAAAUUGGUACCACCGUACUUGUUCCCCAGAUCUACCAACUUGUGCAUGUACAAGUCCAGUUCAUCUCUACGUUGGGAAAAAUUGUAGCAUAUUACGUCUCUAUAUAACCCAAAGGCUAGUACAUAGUCUGGUAUGGACAACUUUUUACCUAACCUAGGAUCUUUGACUUUGAGCACCACUGACAAGUCACCGUAGUUGUACAUCUUGUUUACUACUAUGUCUUGUGAUGCAAUCAGUAAGCACAAAUAACGUCCUUUCCCCCCAAUAAGUCUUUCUUGAUGUUGGGAGGGACCAUAUGUGCUGGUGUGAUAUGUGUAGCGGAACCCUGUAAAUUCUGUGUACCUGUGACAUUACCCUGCAAGACAGUUUGGUCGAUGAUUUGUGUAGGAGGGAUAUCUGGGGGACACACGGUAACUGGUGCUGGAGAUUCCAAAUUUUCCAUUCUUUGAUUCAAAUUAUUGAUGGAUGCCGGCAUGGCUGUCAUUGUGGUCUGAAUCCCUGUAAGGGUGUCAUUAAUGUUAUCUUGCAUACUGGACCCUGGCUCUGGAUUAUCCAUACUGGUCAUCAUAAUUAUGUAUAACUCGGUUUUAUGUAUAACUCUGCUCUGUGGCGAUCUUUCCAUAACCUUAAAGAACAGGGGUUUGAAGGGUCUUGAUUCUCGCCUCAUGUAGGGGCCGUAGUUGGAGUGGGUGGUCUAGCUGGCGUGCUGGGUAGGGAGAAGUCCUCUUCUUGGUCUGAUACCUGAGAUAUGCUAUAAUGAAAUUGAAAAGUGAGACUUAUCCCGAUAUGGUUAUUUGUGACAUGCGUUAAUUGGCGUCUCUUUAAAUGCCGGGUGGCAAAGAAUCUAACUACGUGUGAGAUGGUGAGGCCCUGCUAAUUGCCAAGUGGCAGAUAGAGGCGCUGUUUGUGAUUUGGCCUUGUGCUGUUCCAUUAAAACAAAGGCAGGGUGUAGGCCUCUGGGGAACUUGAUGUCAGGAUUACAAGUUGAUCCAGCACGUAGAACUGUUCACACCUAGGACUAAAAGGUAACGUCUUAGAAUGGCCGGAGUUAACGUACCAGAGAAUAGUCAGAAUACUUGCCGAGGUCAGGGACACAGAAUGAGACACAACGAUGAGGGAAAGCCAAAAGUCAGGGAUACCAGAAUACAGGGAAGUCAAACGAAGCCAAAGUCAAUUACCAGAAAAUAAACGCUCAGAAACAAACUCCCGGACAACCAUUAGGGAAACCACGACAGGGCAAAGAGGAGAAGUAAAAAUGAGUUUAAAUAAGCCCUUUACAAAUCUGAUUGACCGAAAUCGGCCUUUGACCCCAGAACGUGCUCACGGCGACGUCAUCAUCAACGUGGGCGGAAGUGGGGCUAUAAUUUGGCAUGGAUCUGCAGCGGCUGGCAUCCAUCAACAUGUUGCAGGAGUCAGGUACACUGAGGCAUGGCCGCUGAGCACAGAUACCGCAAGGUGAGGAUGAAUAUGUUUCAUUACCCCCCACCUAAAGACCGACCACCAGGCGGGCAGGACCUGGCUUGAGGGGACACUUGGAGUGGAAAUAACAAAUCUUGCGACGUGCAUGAAUAUCGUUGGCCGGAACCCAAGAAUGUUCAGCAGGCCCAUAACCCUUCCAAUCAACCAAAUACUGUAGUGAACCACGAGAGAACCUGGAAUCGAUUAUGGAAGAGACUUCGUACUCCUCAUGUCCAGAAACAACCAACAGGGGUGGCGGAACACUUGGGACAGUAUACUUUUUGCAAAUAAGUGGUUUGAGCAAAGAAACAUGAAACGUGUUAGGAAUACAUAAUGAGGCAGGGAGAGCCAGAGAAUACAAAACAAGAUUAAUUCUACAAAGAAUAUGAAAUGGACCAAGGUAUCUGGGAGCAAACUUCAUGCUAGGAACUUGAAGUUUAAUGUUGCAUGAUGAUAACCACACCCUCUCACCCACUGGCAAACAGGGAUGGCACCCCGCCGUUUAUCUGCAUGAAAUUUGAAAUGAUCAGCUGCAGUUUUGAGAGCGGAGUGAACUUUAGUCCAUGUAUCACGAAUAGAAGCAAGGUGAUCAUCCAAAGCAGGGAUAGCAGUGUCAGAGAAAACAGCCGGCAGAACAGUAGGAUGACGACCGUUAUUAACAAAGAAUGUACUAUGACCAGAGGAGUCAUGAUUAGCAUUGUUCCUGCUGCUCUAUUACAUUGUCUGCCUACCUUUAAGUCAUCAGAAAUAAUCACCCCUAAAUCCCUUUCCUCAUAUGUUGAGGUUAGGACUCUAUCAAAUAUUCUGUACUCUGCCCUUGGGUUUUUACGUCCAAGAUGCAUUAUCUUGCACUUUUCCACAUUAAAUGUCAGUUGCCACAAUUCUGACCAUUUUUCUAGUUUACCUAAAUCAUUUUGCCAUUUGGCNNNNNNNNNNNNNNNNNNNNNNNNNNNNNNNNNNNNNNNNNNNNNNNNNNNNNNNNNNNNNNNNNNNNNNNNNNNNNNNNNNNNNNNNNNNNNNNNNNNNCAAUGUCUACUGCACCACCCUGCUCUAUAAUUUUAGUUACCCAAUCAAAAAAAUCAAUAAGAUUAGUUUGGCAUGAUCUCCCUGAAGUAAAUCCAUGUUGUCUCUGAUCUUGAAAUCCAUGUGUUUUUAGAUGUUCAACAAUCUAUCCUUUAACAUGGUUUCCAUCACUUUCCCCACUACUGAAGUAAGGCUUACUGGCCUAUAGUUGCCCGACUCCUAUUACCUUUCUUGUAAAUGGGCACAACAUUCGCUAACUUCCAAUCUUCUGGGACUACUCCUGUUAACAAUGAUUGGUUAAAUAAAUCUGUUAAUGGUUUUGCUAGUACACCACUAAGCUCUUUUAAUAGCUUUGGGUGUAUUCCAUCAGGUCCCAUUGACUUGUCUUUACUUUUGACAGUUGAAAUAGAACUCUUCCUCUGUAAACUCACGUGUAAUAAAUGACUCAUUUAUCCUUUUUCUCUAGGGGUCCACUUUGCUUUGUUUCUUCUGUAAAUACAGAACAAAAAAUAUUCAUUGAGGCUUGAUCAGCCUGACCUUUAUCCUCUUCUACAUACCUUCUUCUUUUUGUUUUAAUCUAACUAAUCCUUGUUUUACUUUUCUUUUCUCAUUUAUGUAUCUAAAAAUGUUUUAUCCUUUUUUACUGACUGUGCUAUUUUCUCUUCUGUGUGUGUGAUUUGGAAGUAGCGCCUUGUAGCCUCUUUCUGCCUAAUCUUAUAGAUCAUUUUGUCUCUCCCUCACUCUGGGAACAUAAUUCCUAAAUGCUAACUUUUUGUUUUUAACUAUUUUGGCCACAUCUGCGGAGUACCACAGUGGUUUCUUGAAUUUUUUGCUUUUACUGACAAGCCUAAUGCAAUUUUCUGUUGCCUUCAAUAGUGCAACUUUUAAAUAAUCCCAUUUUUUCUUGGACUCCAUUUAAAUUGCUCCAGUCUGAUAAUGACUCCUCUACCCAUAUUCUAAUUUUAGAAAAGUCUGUUUUUCUAAAGUCUAAAACUUUUGUUUGUGUGUGGUGUGACUCAGUCACUGUUCUUAUAUUAAACCACACUGACUGAUGAUCACUGGAUCCUAAACUUUCACCUACAGUAAUAUCUGAUACCAAAUCUCCAUUUGUUAACACUAAAUCUAGUAUGGCCUCUUUACGAGUUGGCUUCUCAACAACUUGUUUUAGAGACAAUCCCAGUAGGGAGUUUAGAAUAUGUGUGCUUCUGGCACAAGUAGCUAAUUUUGUUUUCCAAUUUACAUCAGGAAGAUUAAAGUCACCCAUGAUGAUAACUUCCCCCUUCAUUGUCAUUUUAGCUAUUUCCUCAACUAGUAGAUUAUCUAACUCUUCAAUUUGUCCUAGGGGCCUAUAAAUCACACCUACACGAGUUACUGUAGGAUUACCAAAUUCUAACGUAACCCAAACGGACUCUAUGUUUGCCUCACUAACUUUUAUUAGGCUAGAUUUUAUGCUAUCCUUCACAUACAGGGCCACCCCUCCCCCUUUCUUGCCUUCCUUAUCUUUUCUAUAUAAAGAGUACCCUGGUAUUGCUAUGUCCCAGUCAUUUUUCUCAUUAUACCAUGUCUCAGUAACAGCGACUAAAUCUACACUAUCAGUUGCCAUUAUUGCCACAAGUUCAUGGAUCUUAUUCCUUAAACUGUGAGCAUUUGUAGACAUGACUCUAAGCUUAUUUUUUAACACACUUGUUACAGGCACCUUCUGUCCUUGUUUUGGGGGACAAUUGGAUUGAUGUUUUAUCACCCUUUUGCCCCCCCCUCCUAGUUUAAAUACAUCCUAGCAAAACCUCUGAACUGCUCACUGAGAACAUUUGUUUCCUUUUGAGAAAGAUGCAAACCAUCUUUUUUGUACAGCUUAUCUCCAUUCCAAACAGAGCUACCAUGAGAAAUAAAGCCAAAUCCUUGCUCCCGACACCAUUCACCAAGCCACAAAUUAAAGUCCCUAAUACGCAUCCGCCUGUCGUUCUGAGUGUUAUGCGCAGGCAGAACUUCAGAGAAUGACAGUGUGGAAGCAACCUGCCGUAUAUCAUUGGCAAAAACACUAAAAACUUCCUUAACCUCUGAAACCUCAUUGCAAGCCAGUCAUUUGUCCUAGAUGGACAAGUACAUCCAAUUCAGCCUGCUUUUAGCGCUAACAAUAUUACAGAUCGUCUCCUGUCUCUGUGAGCAGUAGCUCCGGGAAGACACCUCACAAGACCACCAUUGUCCAUCCUCUUACAUAAUGGAAUCACCCAACAACAACUGCUUUCUAUUAGGCCUCACCACCACCCAGUCUCAAGGCGGUCUCCCACAACACCACUAGCCUCCAGUGCCUCUCUCCACAACACCACUAGCCUCAGUGCCUCUCUCCACAACACCACUAGUCUCAGUGCCUCUCUCCACAACACCACUAGCCUCAGUGCCUCUCUCCACAACACCACUAGCCUCAGUGCCUCUCCUCACAACACCACUAGCCUUAGUGCCUCUCCUCACAACACCACUAGCCUUAGUGCCUCUCUCCACAACACGACUAGUCUUAGUGACUCUCUCCACAACACCACUAGCCUCAGUGCCUCUCUCCACAACACCACUAGCCUCAGUGCCUCUCUCCACAACACCACUAGCCUCAGUGCCUCUCUCUACAACACCACUAGCCUCAGUGCCUCUCUCUACAACACCACUAGCCUCAGUGCCUCUCUCUCCACAACACCAUUACACUCUGAAAGUGCAGAAAAUGAAUUAUGAAGAGCAACAGACUGUGCAAAAUGCCUUUUAUCCACAACUCUAAGUCUACCAGAUCCUACAGUAAUCCAUCUGCCUUUCCUAGUAUGUCUCUGCGGCAGUGGCUUUGCAGCAGUUCCAGUCUGAGUUUGUUCACCAGAUAAUUUACAAAUCUCAGACUUCAAAAAUACAAUCUCCUGCCGCAAGUUAGAGAACUGUCUACAGAUUAGACAACAACCAAACCUCCAAAAAGUGAAACGUGAAACAAAUGCAUAGCAAUUGUUACACUGAACUAAGUCUGCCAUUCCAAUUAGGAGAAUAAUUUAAAUCUAACAAAUCUUAACUUUGUAUUUAUCCUCCUGAAUACCUCAGAUUACCUCCAGUUUAUCUCCAGAAUAUCUCCAACUACACACUUAGAAACAGCACUUAGAAGUAGCACCAAGCUAUAUUAGACAAGCUAAUGACAACAAGCCUUAUAUAACUCCUAAAAUCACCACCCACUAGGAAUGUUUAACUCCUGGGUAGGCCUCUGCUUAUUUGCAAACAAUAGCUAAUUAACCAGCAAUCAAGAGCAAGUAACUCGCUUAAUCAAAUCAAAUGACUUAUAAUUACCAACAGGAGUUCAAACCUUGUGCAAUCAGUAACCUUUUCCUACAGAUGAAUUUUACCUGUAACAGUAGAAAAGAAAGCUCUUAGCACAACUCUUAGACAGUUGAAGCUUCUGUAAAACUCUCCAGAAUAUCUCCAACUACACACUUAGAAACAGCACUUAGAAGUAGCACCAAGCCAUAUGCCGGAAAUAGGUAUAAUAGGGAAUGUAACUUACUGGUCUGUAUAUUUGUGGUACAGAUCGCGUAUUCAGGUAGAUCUUUACUGUGGUUUUACCUAGUAUUCUUUAGACUGACAUUAACCCCCUAUGACGAAAGUAUUAAACAUUUAGAGCUAGGAUUAUGUCUAGUAUAUUGAUAUCUUAACUACCCAGAUUAUGAAUUUGCACGAGUUUCAAUGUACCGUGUAUACAAGAAAUAUCAAUUUAACAGGAUGGGAUUCGAGAGAGUAUUGAUCUGAAUUCUGAAAGUACAUAAUGACAAUACGAGCGUAUUUUGGUAUAUAUAUAAGGCAAUUCCCGACUGAAUGACCAUAUUUAGCCUUUAAACUUACUACUAAACUUAGCUUACAUGACGUUCACUAUUUGACUAAAGCAAAACUCAUUUAAACAAAGCUAAUUAAACAAAGCAUAAUUAAUAGAUUUUAACUUAAUUAACCACCCAAUGCCAUAAUUGCAUUCCUUGUUUNNNNNNNNNNNNNNNNNNNNNNNNNNNNNNNNNNNNNNNNNNNNNNNNNNNNNNNNNNNNNNNNNNNNNNNNNNNNNNNNNNNNNNNNNNNNNNNNNNNNAUGGGGGGCAAUGUGUGUCUAUGGGGGCAAUGUGUGUGUAUGGGGCAGUAUGGGGGGCAAUGGGUGUGUAUGGGGCAGUAUGGGGGGCAAUGUGUGUCUAUGGGGGCAAUGGGUGUGUAUGGGGCAGUAUGGGGGGCAAUGUGUGUGUAUGGGGCAGUAUGGGGGGCAAUGUGUGUGUGUGUGUGUGGCCUACCUGUCACUGGAGGAUGUUGCUGGAGUCAGGCAGCCAUCUUCUGCAGCAGCAUGGGCUGCUGCAUUACGGCGGGGGCGGGGCUUAUCGGCGGGAGGUGGGGCUUCGUUUGGGGGCGGAGCCUGUGCCGGGGAGCCAAUCAGUGCUCCCUCCGGCCACAGACCGCCCCCAGCACCUCAGCACUGCAUUCCCUCGGGCUGUAACAGGCUGUUACAGUCCGAGGGAAGCCCAUGGCCAGCAAGUUGCCGGCAUUUGGGGGGGCCCAAGGGGGGGCACAGCAUGAUGUAGGGGGGGCCAUGGCCCCCUCUGGCCCCCCCCUAGCGACGCCACUGCAUUUAAGACCACAAGAAAAGCUACCGACAUUUAAGUCCACAAGAGAGUACAGCACAGUACCAAUAUAUAAAUGAUCUACCAAACCCAAAGUGUCAAUUAUUUUUAUUAUUAUUAUGUUAUAUAUAUAUAGCAUCAUCAAAUUCUGCAGCUCUUUACAAUGGGUGGACGAACAGACAUGUAGUUGUAACCAGACAAGUUGGACACACAGGAACAGAGGGGUUGAGGGCCCUGCUUAAUGAGCUUACAUGCUAGAGGAAGUGGGGUAAAAUGACACAAAAAGGUAAGGAUAGUAUUAGACUAGUGACAGUUGCAGAAGAGGAAUCAGUCAGGAGCUAUUAACAGUUUAAUUGAUACGCUAUUAUGAAGAAGUAUAUUUUUAAUGAUUUUUUGAAGGAGUGGAGACUGGAUAAGCAUCUAACGGAGGAGGAAGCGAGUUCCACAGGAAUGGUGCAGCCCUCGAGAAAUCUUGAAGGCGAGCAUCAGAGGUGGGAGUACGGACAGAAGAUAGUAAGUCUUCAGCAGAUCGUAAGGGCUUAGACGGGACAUACUUGUGUAUAAGGGAGGAUAGAUAGGUGGGAGCAGCAUUAUGUAGAGAUUUGAAAGUAAGAACCAGAAUUUUAAAUUGAGCUCUAUAUUUUAUAGGAAGCCAAUGUAGGGACUGACAAAAGGGUGAGGCAUGGGAGGUGCGGGCGGACAGGAAGAUGAGCCUCGCUGCCGCAUUCAUUAUGGACUGUAACGGUGCAAGUUGGGAGCACGUAAGACCACUGAGAAGCGGAUUACAGUAGUCAAGGCGAGAAAGGACAGUGAAAUGGACCAACACCUUAGUCGCAUCUGGCGUUAAGUAGGGGCGGAUGCGCGCAAUGUUUUUGAGAUGGAAAUGACAGGAUUUGGUGAUAGAUUGAACAUGAGGCUUGAAGGAGAGGUCAGAGUCAAAGAGAACACCUAGGCAGCGAGCCUGCAUGGUGGAGCUGAUGGUAGCACCGUUGACUUGGAGGGAGACAGACAUAGGAGUAACAACACUUGAGGGAGGAAAGACCAGAAUUUCAGUUUAGUUCAAGUUUAGUUUAAGGAAGUGGGCAGCCAUCCAGUUAGAAAUAGCAGAGAGGCAGAGACACUAGUCAAGAGGGACGGGGAGAGAUCAGGAGAGGACAGGUAGAUUUGCGUGUUAUCUGCAUAGAAAUGAUAUUGGAAGCCAAAGGAGCGAAUGAGUUUACCAAGGGAGGCAGUAUAGAGGGAGAACAGUAGGGGACCAAGGACUGAACCUUGGGGGACACCAACAGAGAGGAGUUGGGGAGAAGAAGCAGAGCCAGAGAAAGAAACACUGAAAGAGCGCUGGGAGAGGUAGGAGGAGCACCAGGAGAGAGCAAUAUCUUAUAGACCAAUAUUGCGGAGGAUGAGAAGAAGCUGUUGAUGACCAGCAGCGUCAAAAGCAGGAGGCUUCCGAGUCUGCAGGAAGCAUAGAGCCUUGGCGUUCCUGCACUUUUCUAUAGCAAGAAACGCGUUCCGUUACCUGUCACAGGACACGGCCCUGCUCCUGCACAGAGGGCCAUCACAUACUGUGAUUUCCUCUCCAGCUAUAACUCUCGCGAGACCCGCGGCUGUUACCAUGGCAGCGCUCCGCACAGGCGAGUCUCGCGAGAGUUAGAGCUGGAGAGGGAACACAGCGUGUGAUGGCCCCUCUGUGCAGCGGCUGGCUCCCUCCAGCAUACCACCGGACCACCAGGCGAUCUCCCCCCUCCCUGACAAGGUAAGAAGCAGGGAGGGGGGAAUAAAAUAAAAAAAUAUAGACACAUAAAGUUAAAAAAAAUGCUCCCCCCCCCACAUCAUCCAGCACUCACACACCCAUCAUCCAGCACACACACACCCAUCAUCCAGCACACACACACCCUUCAUCCAGCACUCACACACCCAUCAUCCAGCACACACACACACCCAUCAUCCAGCACUCACACACCCAUCAUCCAGCACUCACACACACAUCAACCAGCACUCACACACCCAUCAUCCAGCACACACACACACACACACCAUCCAGCACUCACACACACACCCAUAAUCCAGCACUCACACACCCAUCAUCCAGCACUCACACACCCAUCAUCCAGCACUCACUCACACACCCAUCAUCCACUCACACACCCAUCAUCCAGCACACACACACACACCCAUCAUCCAGCACACACACACACACACAUCAUCCAGCACACAGACACAUACACACACACACACAUCAUCCAACACACACAUCAUCCAGCACACACACACAUCAUCCAGCACACACAACACAUCCAUCAUCCAGCACACUCACACACCCAUCAUCCNNNNNNNNNNNNNNNNNNNNNNNNNNNNNNNNNNNNNNNNNNNNNNNNNNNNNNNNNNNNNNNNNNNNNNNNNNNNNNNNNNNNNNNNNNNNNNNNNNNNGAUGCUCGCUUCUUUUUAUGAUUUACAUCAUAAACCUUAACUCCCAAGGUCUCUCCUGUCUCAAUUGGCAACAGGAAGAAGGAUGGUUUGAGCAUACUUAAUAUACAUGCCCCUUCCCAAUCUUGUGGUAACUCUGAAUAUGCUUUCUUACCACAGAUCCAAUAUAAAUUCGCUGGGGCUUUCCAAUUGGAUGUAGCAGAUAAGUCAAACCAUACCUCUUUUAAAUGGGUGUAAUUGGUAAACGGAUUAGUAGGCUCUGAGACAUUUGAAGCUGACCACCAAGUAGUAUCUUUAGUAUCGGCAUUAUAGGCUUUCUGUCCUAGACAUAUUAACUCGCCAACAGGUGUGGUAUACAAUGGCCCUUUCCUGGCUAAACAUACAUGACCUAUUAUGUAGGUUUUUAACCGCCACUCUGAUUUACCUCUAGUACUUACUUGAUGAUCAGACUGAGAAAGUAUUUGUUGUUCAUCUGUCUCAGAACCAGGGUACCAUAUUUCCUUUGCCUCCCAUGGCCACUGGUCUCCCAUAUUAGUACCUCCACAUACAAAGCAAUUAGUUCCAUUAAGACUACCUGCAAUAAUCUCAGUCAAAUCAAUAAAUAGGUUCUUAACAUUAUGGGGAAUUUUAUCCUCAACACUCAUCUCCUCAUAAAAGAAAUGAAAAACCUGAUGAGUUUGAGUUGAUAUCGUCUCAGUUUCAAGUCCUACAUAUAUUAUGUUUCCUGGGUCUACUCCUGUGCCAUAUAUUUGGAACCCAAAUAGAUUUCCAAACUUAUCAAUAAAAUGUUGUGGAUUAGAGAUGGUCAUAUGGACAGGAUUACAUUCCAUAGACUUACAGUGUGGUGUAGUGGGCAACCUUUGGAUAAUCAUAUCUUGAUCCACUGUUUUUCCCGAGGUCGCCCACCCUACACAAGCAGUGGAGGAUCCAGGGGGGGCAACGGGGCAAUUGCCCCCCCCCCCCCGAGAAUACCAACAGUCUCUCUCUCCCCUUCCAGCACAUGCAGUCUCCCUCCCCGGUCCGCAGGCACCGUGCUGGCAGCCGGCGGGGGAGGGAGUGAGAGAGGACCCGGGAGCUCAGCCUGCAGCUCCUCCAGGUUCUCCUCUCGCGAGAUUUGGAGCGUUGACGUGGUUACCACGGCAAUGCUCCAAAUCUCACGAGAAUGAACUCUCCCCACUGGGACCACCAGGGAAUCACCACUGGCCCACCAGGGACACGUUCCCCCUCCCCCCCAGUAAAGGUAAGAAGGGAAGGGGGACAUAGAAUAUAUAUUUUAAUUAAAUUAAAAUAUAUAUAUAUAUAUAUAUAUAUAUAUAUAUAUUAUAAAAAAGCCCCCCUUACCUUAUCACACACACACACACUCUACACACACACAUAUUGCCCCCCAUACACACACACUGCUCCCAUACACACACACUGCCCCCCCAUACACACACACUGCUCCCCAAUACACACACACUGCGCUGCCCUGCCCCCAUAUACACACACUCUACACAUACACUGCUCCCCAUACACACACACACAUUGCCCACACUCACACAUACACUGCAAUACUCACACACACACAUUGCAACUGUUAUACACACAUACUGUCCCACACAUACACUGCUGCCCUCACACACACUACAACCUUCACACACUACACACACACUGUCCCCCCCCCACACACAGACACACUGCACCCCUUACACAUUGCACCACUCACACACACCACUGCUCCUAUGCUCUACUACUGCCCCAUUUCCCAGCAGACCUCAGGUAAGUUGUCAAACUGUUCUUAAACGGUUUGACUACUUACUCUGGGAGGGGGUCCCGGCACUAUUGACACCAUAACCACUACACUGAGCUGUAGUGGUUAUUGUGUCUGGAUUAUUUCAUUAAAUAAUCUACAAGUGUCCCUCCCGAGAUCAGGCUCUGGAUCCGCCACUGUACACAAGAUCAAUAUGGACAAAAAUUAAAAUCCCUAUUUGGGCAAUCAGGAUCAGUAGAUCUCUUACUGGGACAUAAAUAUUUAUCAUUAAACCCAUAAGUUCGUUCCCAUUUAAGAUCACCACAUACAUUCCAAGGUUUUCUACUACCAGAGAUCGCCUUACAUGCAUCAAAUAGUAGAAUGCCCGUAGAAUGUAUAGUAUUUAUCACAGUCCUGUUUAUCAAGGUCCCCUGGGAGUUACUUUUCCGAAUUACCAACCAAAUUGUACGGGGUUGGAAUUGGGGAUCAAAACAUUUAGGCUAUCCUGACAAUUGGUUUGCAUACACUGUAAUCUAUAUCUAAAUAUCUACACUUAGAUACAGAUCCCCUACACUCAUACUGUGAGUGCCAAAUGAGAGUUUGGGAUAUUUGGUUACCUGUUUUUGUAGUCUUAAUGCAGCUAACACAACUCUGUAUGUCCUCAACUUUACCUUCCUGAAAAAUCACAAAAAUGCCUAAACACAUAAUAUAACAUUAUUUCAGAAGUCCUCAUUUCUACUGUUCAACUGUGCGACGGCACCUCAGCUUCUCGAUUGUGAGGGCUGCAAGGAUUGUCGUUCUUCUGAUCCUCACUUUUCUUCACAGAGGUCCCUUCGAGACACUCUGGCUAUGACACGUAGGUAUGUGGUCAGGCUUUAUUAUGGCCGUCAAAACACCUACUUGCGGAUAUCUGUUACUUUCAACUAAGAUGUCCCAAUAUCUUCUCAUAUUAUUUCUCACUCCGACUGAGCUACCCGCUUUAACCGGAUCUUGUAAGGAUUUUCAGAAUCUGGAAUAGCUUGCCAAGAAUCUGCCGCUGGUUUAACCCUAGAACAGGGGUAGGCAACCUACGGCACUAGUGCCAUGCACGGCACUCAAGGCUGCUAGAGCCAAACGCACUCUGGUCUAUCAGGAGUUCCAGUAAAACUUCAGUAUCUGCUAAUACGAAGAGGUGGUGAAGGACAAUCCUCAAUUUAUGCAUUGCAGCACAUAGAGGAAACGAUCUCAGAUCACUUCCUCCCAGCACUUGUGAAUGGGAAUCCACACUGUAGUAGAGCAGCCCUCGACAGCUAUCGCAGCUCCUGGUCCCCACUGGAACCCAAGAACCCACCCACACUGCUAGAUAUACAAAGAAAUGCAGAAUAACCCUCCCCUCAUACAAAUAAUAUGAACAGCCCACACAAUCCCCACAAACGCAACACCACUAACAAUCCACAUACAUUCACACAAUCCCACAUGCAGCCUCUCACAUGUAAUACCCCAAACAGCCCCCACACACUACCAAACACACAAUGUGACAUAUCCAUCCACAACAAUUCCACAAGCAGCCCCCAUACACAGCACACAUUCAUAUGUAUCAUACACGAUACCAUAAACUACUAAUGAACAUAUACAAUAUAAUAGCUCAUAUACGCACAUAUACGACGAUACAAAGCAAUUACAGUAAAAAUAACACAAGCAGAACACGGCAGCAUACACACCUCAUUUUAAAAAAAUAGGAUCAGCACGCUACGGUUCAUCACAAUCCUAUAUCGGCACAGUGCUGCUACAAGGUUGCCUAGCUCUGCCCUAGAAUGAUGAAUCCACUGAGUCACUUCUGCCACCUUUACAGCUGUUGGAGUAGAUAAAAGAACAACAUAAGGACCCCUCCACUUUGGACCUAAUGGAACAAUAUUCCAUUCUUUUAUCUACACUUGAUCUCCCGGUUGAUAGAAAUUAACAGGUGGAUAUAUGUUCACAGGUAACCUAUCUUGCACCCAUUUCUGUACUUCCUCUAUAGUUUUACCCAACUCUACAACCUGCUGCUGAAUAAUUCCUUCACCCAACUGAUUCAAGUCCCCCCUGAGAUUACGGAGUAUGGAAGGUGGACGCCCAUACACGAUUUCAAAGGGAGACAGAUCCAUUCUUCUGGUAGGAGUACUACGUAUCCGCAACAGAGCUAUUGGCAAAAGGACAUUCCACUUGAGCUGAGUUUCCUGACACAUUUUAGCCAAUUGGGUUUUUAUUGUUCUGUUCAUCCUUUCCAGAACUCUGAGGUCUAUAUGCUGUAUGAAGUUUUGGAUUACUUCCCAAUUAUCUCCAGGACAGAGGGAGGGAAGUUAGGAUGCAUUGUGGGGAUGUUGUACCUCUGCGUGUCUGUCAUUGGUUCACAUCUGUCCUUUGUCACAGUCUCCCAUUUGGUCCCCUAGGGGAGUGUCCACCAGGUGGGAGACCUGCAUAAAUACUGGGCAGGUAGCCCUCAUUAAACCUGUUCACUGCUUGAUCCUCAACACGAAGCUCUGUCUCGUCUUUGGGUGGAUUUACUGUAUGCUGUUAGAGACUGAUUGCCAGGAGUGUAAGCCGCUUGGGUGCUUUUCCUGUUCAUCUGCUAUUCGUGAGGUUCCAGUUCGGGAGUUUGGAGUGCUACUUUGUAUGCAGUUCGGGAGUUUGAAGCAUUCCCUUGUAUGCAGUUCGGGAGUUUGGUGUUCUGCAGUAGCUGUGCCUGUAUCUCUGGAAGGGGAAGAUCUUCUAAACGGCGGUUUAUCCCUUUUAUACUGAGGGUGCCGUUACAAUUGGUGGCAAGCGGCGGGAUCGUUCCCACAGCCAGAAGGACAGCUACAUGAGACACCAUUUCUUUGGUGGGCAGAGACCAGCAGUACUCUGCCCUGGUGCCAGCACUACCACGGGAGUAGUCUGGUUGGAGCGACCCUGACAGCACCAGGAUGGAACCAGCAGUGGCGUACAGCUACUCUAUGAAAGAGUUUGACAAUAGGAUGGGAUUGCGGCUGAAGUACUAGAGACCCAAUCCACCGGAGAAAAUCGGUGCAGCUUAUAAGGAAACUAAUGUUCAAGAAUCUGCAAUACCGGGCAGAAAGGGAAGGUCAGCUGGCACGUUGGGAGGAACUCCAGCGGCAGGUACUGCAGGGAAUAGGGAGCCCAGUCUCCAUUCCCCAGCGGCAGAGUGAUAUGCAGGGAAUUGGGAGCUCAGUCUCCAUUCCCCAGCGGCAGUGUAAUUUAUUGGGAAUUGGGAGCCCAGUUUCCAUUCCACAGCGGCAGGCUGAGUUACAGGGAACAAAGAUAGUGGCUCCUGUACCCCAGCAGCAGAGUGAAUUGCAGGGAAUUGGGAGCCUAGUCUCCAUUACCCAGCAGGAGAUACAGCAGGGAAGUGGGAGCCCAGUCUCCAUUCCCCAGCAUAAGAUACAGCAGGGAAUUGGGAGCCCAGUCUCCAUUCCCCAGCGGCAGAGUGUCCUACAGGGAAUAGGGAGCCCAGUCUCCUUUCCCCAGCAGCAGGACUCUGUAUUGGGAGCAGAGACAGUCAGUCUCCCUUCCCCGCGGCUGGAAGUAUGUAUGGGAGAGGAGCUUGUUACCAGGGGGGGACAGUAAGCCUCACAACCGUGCAGAUGAGACCGUGGUCUCUGCAUUUACAGCACAGGGGGUAGGGAUGGUCGGUCCUGCCCCUCAGCGACAGGGCUGUUUAGCCAAAGGGGAGACAGUCGGUCUCCCCCUCCAGCCACCAGGCUCCAACCAGACUACUCCCGUGGUAGUGCUGGCACCAGGGCAGAGUACUGCUGGUCUCUGCCCACUCAGCAACCCACCAAGUCAGCUUACCAGUCACCCACACAGCCAGGGUGAGGCACUUGGACAUGGACAAAGUUCUCCUCUAACCAGGUGUAGUAACCAGUUAUUGUGGGUGGGCUGUAUUACUGAUUGUGUGUUGUGGGUGGGCUGCUGGACUAACCAGGGCACUGACCGGCAGGAGGUCAGAUACCCUGUUAGUCUGUUUGGAAAAGGGGAGAGAUGUGACGAGACCAAUCUCGCCACAUUGCAUUGGAGAAGCCUGGUUGCUCGCCUGUCGCCUUCUUGCUUCUGCAUAGGAUCUGAGCGCUAUUCGGUACUUUUGUGCGCUCAGAUCCAAGCUAUCUGGGGAUAGGUAGAAUGUAUAUGUUUUGUGCAACAGUUGUAACUUUAUACAUUUUUAUGUCUUUUACUGCCAUGUGGUUAAUGGAGUUUUGCCUCUGUCCUGGGAGAUAAUUGGAUUACUUCCCAAUUAUCUCCAGGACAGAGGGAAAUUAGGAUGCAUUGUGGGGAUGUUGUACCUCUGUGUGUGUCUCAGUGGUUCACGUCUGUCCUUUGUCACAGUCUCCCAUUUUGUCCCCUAGGGGAGUGUCCACCAGGUGGGAGACCUGCAUAAAUACUGGGCAGGUAGCCCUCAUUAAACCUUCUUCACUGCUUGACCCACAACACGGAGCUUUGUCUCGGUCUUGGGGGAGAUUUAUUGUAUGCUGUUCCAGUACGACUGCUAGGAGUGUAAAUCUUUCGUAUGGUUUUUCAUAUUCGGCUGUUUACGGCAUUCAUAUGGUUUCCUGUUCGGCUGAUUGGUGUUCUGCAGUAGCUGUGCCUGUGUCUCUGGAAGGGAAGAUCUACUAAACGGCGGUUUAACCCUUUUAUGCUGAGGGUGCCAUUACAGGUACAACUGGGUGUAUAUUGACUACUGCGUCAUUAACUGCUCUCAAAUCUUGUACAGGACGAUAUUCAUCUAAUCCUGGUUUCUGAACAGGUAAUAAUGGAGUGUUCCAGGGGGAAGUGCAGAAUUUUAGGAUGCCAUACCUUACGAACUUAUCCAAGUAGGUCUGUGUGUUUUUCUUAGCCUUUUGAGGUAUAUGAUACUGACGUAGGCUCACAGGAUAGGCCUCAAGCUUUAGUUCAAUAUGUAUAGGUGGAAUAUUACGGGCAAGCCCAUACUCCUGGAAUGUCAAAUAAAGGUUCAUCACUCUUAGGGUUUACACUUGUCAUUAUGGAGUAGAAGCGCCAUUCUUCUUCCCUUGGCACUGAUACCGCCAUUAUGUCAGGUAAUCCAUUAAACCUCAGAGACGUUGAUCCAUUAGGUAGAAAAGUUAUCUGGGCUUGAAGCUUCAAUAAUAGAUCUCGUCCUAAAAGUUGAAUCGGACACUCUGGCAUAUAUAGGAACUGGUGCUUCACCAAAUGGCCUCCCAGAAUGCAAGUGCGACUUUUAAGAACCGGUCUAGCUGCGCUUCUCCGAGUAGCUCCUAUCACAGUUAUAGUUUUUCCUGAAGGCGGAGCCACCAGUUUAGUCACCACGGAAUGUCAGCACCAGUAUCAUGAAAGAACUUCUCUUUACCCCUAUUGCUACAUCGACCAUAGGCUCCGCUCGGCCAAGGGGGAUGGAGCCCGGUCGGUAUCAAUAGUCUUCCAUGAUAGUGUCAGCCAGACCCACAAAAUCUCUAUCCUCUAUCUCUUGGUCUCUGAGUAGGUGGAUAAUAUCUAUCUCCUUGAACACUCCCUCUACUAUUCCUACCGUUCCCUCCAAAACUUCCUCUUCCUCUAUAACUACCACUAUAACCUCCCCGUACUCUUCUCUCUCCUUGUCUAUUAUUUUCAUAAUGCUCUCUCUGUGGACACUCAUUCUUCCAAUGUCCUUCCUCUCUACAAAACGCACAUUGAUUCCUACUUAAAGGUCCCUUACUCAGCCUAUUCUCGACUCCUUUAUUCACUUCCCUGUCUUUCUACACUUGUGAUAGCUACCGCUAUAUAUUCUUCUUCAUUUUACAUUCUUCCUCCCGCUUUAUCUCAGUUUCCCUAUUCAUAUACACUUUUUUUUUGUGAUCUCCAUUAGCUGUGAUAUGGACAUCCCUACAAAUCCCUCUAACAUUUGCAAUUUUCUUUUAAUAUCACUUUGGGCCUGGCUGACAAAUGCUGAGUUAAUCGUUCGAGAAUUCUCAGGGGCCUCUGGAUUAAGAGGAGUAUACAAUCUAUAGGACUCCAAUAAGCUUUCAUAAAAGGCACUAGGUGACUCAUCAACCUUUUGCAACACCUCAGCCAUCUUUGACAUAUUGAUUGCCUUCUUCCCUCCUGCCUUCAUGCCAACAAUAAUGGCUUCCCGAUAAGCCCUUAAUUGGGUCAUGUCAGCACCAUUCACAUUCCAAUUUGGAUCAACAUUUGGAUAAUGGGCUGCAGCCCAUGCAGCUGGAUUGGCCUGAUUUUGAAUACGGGCAGUUUCCUCAAGCGCUUUAAUAGCCGCUUGAUUAAUCCGGGUCCUUUCCUCACAAUUAAAUAAAGUUAAUAAUAAUUGCUGGCAAUCGGCCCAGGUGGGAUUGUGAGUUUGUAUAAUAGAGGUAACCAAAUCUGUCAUGACUUGAGGUUUGUCGGUAUACUAAGAGUUAUGAGUCUUCCAAUUGAAUAGAUCAGUUGUGGUGAAGGGGACAUAGACAAACACUAGAUCUGCCCGUUGUAUUUGGCCAUUUUCAUCAACGUGUGUUGGGCCCGGUGUAAGUCGGAGGGGCAUUUGGUAAUGUCGGGGUUGAAGGGUACCAGUCAUCUGUUGGGUUAAUAUAGGACUUCGGCGAGGCUGUUUUAUAGUAAGUUCCGGUUUAGGGGUAGUAAGGUAAGGAGAAUGAGGCAGGUUAAUUUCACCGGGCGGAAGUUCAGUCAACAGGAUGUUGCAGGCCGGGCUGGGAGGAGCCUGACCAGGAACCAGAAGUGACGUUAAUUCCGGAUAUAUAGAACUAGUGGAGGUAGGUACCGGAAGGGGAGGACUCAGGGCAAGUGAGCAGGGCUCUAAACUAGAUGAUUGAGUGGGCAGGGACAAUAGGAAAGGGAGAGUGGCAACACCAGCAGCACCUCCUCUAACCUUAGAGGAGGAGUAAGGGGGUGGGGAGGGAAGUCCAGACUCAGAGGGAGAGUAUAAAAUGGGCAGGGUUGCGGCCCUGAUGGACAGACGAGUCCUGGCCACCAUGAGGCGACAUUGCUCCUCUUGGCAUACCUUAAUCCAUUUAGGCAAUUCCUCCACAAUCUGUUUCCAACAAUCAAUAUACGGAAACUGAUCAUAGAAUUCAGGCCUACUAGAUACAACCGCAUGCACACGUUGCACUAGAGUUAGAUCGAGACUACCACGUGGAGGCCAUGCGGUCACCAAGAUAUGGAGAAGCAGAGAAGUUGGCACACACAAUUGAUAUUUUUCUCCUUUAUAAUCUGAAAUAAAUAUAACAGAACCUUCAUAGGGUAACAUAUAAAAGAAAAAUUUCAGUUAUAUGUAUAACAGGAAAAACUCACAAUUUGGAGAGCCAUAUAAGUCGGCUCUCUACUAAAAAGGCCGGUGAGUAAUCCCAAAAUGACAAGCAGCCGCAGUGAUGAUGGACCCCCAGGGAAAGAGUUGCUUCAAAUCCACCUGGACAGAAUUUCAGGAACCCAAAGUCGCUCAAAAAGGUUGUCUUUAUUACAUAUAAAAUAAAUAAAGGUAUAAAAAACAGUAGCACAACACGUUUCGACCAAUAUACUGGUCUUCCUCAGGUGCAUAAAACACAAGUACACAUAACAAUGUAAAACACAUGUAAAUAAUUACAGUAACCCAUCCCACAAUGUCCAUAUAUGGAGGUUCCAUUUUUCUUAUUCCUCCUCCAAGAUGGUGGCAUCUGGUAUAUUCCAUUGUUAUCCAAAGGGGGCUGACCUUUCCAAGAUGGCAACAUGAGCAGUAUAUCCAUGAAAGUCACUUCCGGUUCACGGCGUGACGUCACUUCCGGUUUCGUCUAAUCAAGGGAAGCAUUUCCAAUUGUCACAAGAACUCCAGGCAUAGAGUAGAAGUCCGCCAUAUUUAAAAAGGGAAAGGAAGAGGGCAAACACAGAGAGAGCAGGAAUGCCAAGAUAAAUAGAUUAAAACCACAAUAAAACAUUAUAUGUAAUUAUUUACAUGUGUUUUACAUUGUUAUUAACUAUGUUAGGUAUUUAAACCUGUUAUGUGUACUUGUGUUUUAUGCACCUGAGGAAGACCAGUAUAUUGGUCGAAACACGUUGUGCUACUGUUUGUUAUACUUUUAUUUUAUAUGUAAUAAAGACAGCUUUUUUGAGCUACUUUGGGUCCCUGAAAUUCUGUCCAGGUGGAUUUGAAGCAACUCUUUCCCUGGGGGACCAUCAUCAUUGCGGCUACUUGUCGUUUUGGGAUUACUCACCUGCCUUUUUAGUAGAGAGCCGACUUAUAUGGCUCUCUAAAUUGUGAAUUUUUCCUGUUAUACAUAUAUCUGAAAAUUUUCUUUCAUUUGUUGCCCUAUGAAGGUUCUGUUAUAUUUAUUUCAGAUUAUUAAGGAGAAAAAUAUCCAUUGUGUGCGCCAACUUCUCUCUGUUUCUCCAUAUUUGAUGUAAGUGUUUUGGGUGAUAAAACACUUGUGUAGCUUGAGACGUACUGGGAUACAGGUUAUUUGAUUUAUAGCGACAUUUAUACACAUUUUCUCUGUAGGCCACUCUCUACUACAUAAUGUAGUCAAACGCUUUGGGGAUAAUUGCACCCGAAAAUCACAAACUUUAUAUCACUUUGCAAAGUUUUUCAACAUACACGACAAGGGAUCAACAAUUUUUGAGUCAGACGCACCCAUACUGGCAACGGAGCGUCUAAUACAAAGAAACACAAUACCCCAAACACACUUCCAACGAUCACACUUGUUUCCCUGGCAACAGCACCACGUGGCACAGUUGCUAGGCCAAACACACACACAGGAAAACAAGCAGAGAAUUCUCGUACAUACAGUGAUAUCACAAUGUCUCACUCACAAAGAUUUACCAGACACUAGAUACUUAUCUCUGUAACUAUAAAUCAAACCCUACAAUUAUCCACAUUAUAAAUCAACUUUUAACUAACCGACUAUAUCACAUUCUAGUAACCUCAUCUUUACAAUCAGUGGUUAUGGUACGGUUAGCAAGUGGUUAUAAUACAGUUUUAAAAUCACAGAUCAGUUAGUAACAGUUGUGGUGUUACACAUAUAACAUAAGACAACAGUAUUUAGUAAUUUUUACACAACGUCAGUAGUUAUAGUACAUGUUAAUGGUUAUAAUACCGUGCACGAUUAUACAGUAUACACAAUUUACACUCCCACUAGACGGCAGAGCUCAAGCUUUCUAGCAGGACAUACAAUUCACCAACUACAGUAUAUUUAAAAACAUUUACAAUAAUCCCAACUAUUCUAAUUGGCCAGCACCUCGAGAACUAUCAAACUAUUUACACCAGGAUUCAGUUAGUCUACGCUGUCCAAGCACCACAUAUAGCGAACCAGUGGGCGGAAUUUACAACAGUACCCAUUUAGUCUAUCUACUCUAUCAAUAGUCUAGUGGCUAAAUUUACAACCGCGCACACUUAGCCAAGAUAGGUUGAGAACUAGCAGACGGAAUGUACACCAAAAUCUGCAUAGUCUCGCCGGCCUCCCUGACCUAACGACCGAAAUUUACACCUAGACACGCUAGUCAAGACACGACACCGGUGUCCGGCAUAAACUAUUUACACCAAAAUUUAGCCUGACCCAAACCACCUAUAUUAGACGGGCUGACUACAGAGCAUCUAAUUUCCAGAUAAGUGUUGCGCCUUUGCUUCUUCCCUGGAGGGGGCAAUCCAAUAACCGGUUCCAAAUAUAAAACCCCUUGUGGGCCUACCGCUCUAACGGUAUCAGGUUUACCUCUUCGUUCCUGAACCUGGGCUCACACUCAUCGACGGGGCACCCCGGUACUUACUAUGUGUGGCGGAACCAGCUUCGCCACUGGGCAUUGGAGAAGACGGAUUGCCGGCCUCCUGCCCUGUGACUAUGGCCCCAUGUUGAAAGGAUGGAUUUUCCCCUGCAAAUACCCAAAAGCUGGGUCUUUCGGUACUUUCCCUAUGUGAGCAGUGUUAGCUAUGCCAUGGAGCCCAUUUGUAUAAUGAAAGACUAUGGGAAAGACUUUGGCUCCAUGGCAAUUGAACUGUAUGUGUGUGCUCUGAGCGCCAUUCAAUAAUAAUGUGAGCUCAGAUCUGAGCUGUCUAGGGAUAUGUUAAAUGUACCUGUUUUGUGCAAUGGCUGCACAGUUAUAUGUUUUUAUGUGUUUUAUUGUCUUUUGCUGCCAUGUGGCUAAUGGAGUUUUGCCUCUGUCCUGGAGAUAAUUGGAUUACUUCCCCAAUUAUCUCCAGGAUAGAAGACUCUGUGGAACUGGUUUUGGGCAGAAAAGCCAUGCUGCAUUUGGUCAAAUAGGACUUUUCCUUAACUUUUGAACCACUGGACCAAUAUGUAUGAUUUUGACAUAUGUUUGUAUUUGGAGUAUGCUGAUUCUGAAAAUGUAAGUGAAUGUGAUGCAUACGUUUCAAGUUAUGAAUAAUGUGGAAAAACUGUAUUUCUCUGGCUGUGAUAAUUAGAUUAACCAUUCUGUUCAGUAAUCAUAUCACAGCCAGAGGGGAGGAUUUUGUGUGGGAGUGUCUUUCUGUAAUGUACGUGUGUUAUUGGUUGUUAUGUAAAACCCUGUGGGCAGUACUAAGUUUGUGGAUUGGGAAUAAAAGAGGCUGUAUGUGCCAGUCCAGUCAGUUCCUGCUUAACCCUCAAAGUGAAGUGUCGUCUCAUUAUUGGGGGAGGAUUUAUUGUAUGCUGUUCCAGUUUGACUGCUAGGAGUCUAAACCCAAUCCAUAUGGUUUUUGCCUAUUCAGCUGUUUAUAGCAUUCAUAUGCUUGAGAGAAGGUAUACGCUUCUUCGGUUCGGUGAUUGUGGUGUCGGCCAGAGUGCUUGGAGUCCUCAGGAAACGCUAGGAGCAUCCUUUAACGGAGGUACCCAGUCGGGGUGCCAGGUGAUCCGUUACACUAUGUAAAGGCUGAUGAUCUCCUGGGCGAAGCAGCCCAGUGACGCCGAGAUGAAGGAAUGUCCACGCAGAAGUUCAGGGGACGGUAAAAGGUUUACCGUCUCAAAUCUCUGCGCCAGCUUCCGUGCGAUGAGGUUCCCGGCCAAUGCACCAAAGAUGUCACCGAGUAAACUUGCAGAAGCCAGACACAGAGAGAUGAAUGCAGGUUUUCAGUAAGUAAGAGGACUUUAUUAACAUACCGAUCGGGGCUCAGAUGAACUAAGUUAGACGAAAGUCCUUUAUGACCGACGCAAGCACAUUUUCCUGCCCAAAACAGUUCCAUAGAUUUGGGCUGUGCGGUCGGUAUAUUUCAGGCAGAAAAAUGACUAAGUGCCAUUCGAAUGCACGAACGGGGCCGUUCGUGCAAUCGGCUCAGUAUAGCAGUGAAUUCAAACUGCCUAAUGGGACUUAGUCUCUGCGGCUUCAAACUUAGUGUAGGAGAAGGUAAGGGUCAGCGGUGUUCGUUGAAAUGUGUAGCCGAUUUCAGUUCCAUGAAUUUGGCUACACAUACCGCUGACCUCGUUCGAAUGAACAAAGAUGGCCGCCACGUGUUCCUUUGCACGAACUGCGGCCACCCAGCGGUUGGCAAUUUACCUACAGCAGGCUCCCAGCCUAGGAGGUAAAUUGCCUGCACACUUCCACUUCUGUGUGGUCCACCUGUGUGGUAAAUGGGUCAGCCCCAUUUACUGAACUAAGUAGGAACAGGGUACAAACAAAGUAUUUUAAAGGUCGGGGGGACAGUCUUAAACGGGCAUUGUUCCCAAAAGUCACAGAAUGUCCCCAGACAGUUCUUAAAGGGCCAGCAGCAGCACAAUAAAAAUCCAUUAUGCCCAAAUACUGUUCUUAAAGAGCCAUACACCUCAGGUCCAUAGUCAUGGGGAAGGAGGCUGGUAAAUAGGCUUCUCCAUAAUACAGGGAAGCAGGGCAAUUUGUCAAUUAAAGAAACAGUUACAAAAGGCAUUUUGUAACAGUGUCUGUGAGUUAAUGUGUGUGUCUGAGUGAGUGAAUGUGUGUGUGUGUCGGUCAGUGAGUGCGUUUAUCUGUCAGUGAGUCUGUCAGUGAAUGUGAGUGUCAGUGAGUGUCCAAGUAAUAGUGUGUGUCUGUCUAUCAGUAUGUCAAAUCAGUGAGUGUGUGUCAUUGAAUGGAACGGACGCAACCUCAGGGAACUGAACGAAAAUUCCACAUGAGGAUUACUGUCAGGGGACAGAUCUGCAUAUGGAUCUUAAUUCUGGACUAUGUUUAUUUCCGUAAGUGACGUCAUGCACACGAGAUGUCGUGCGCGAUGACCUCACCGCGUAGGAAAAUAUUACUAACAGAUGAUGCCACACACUCCCCCCAGCAUGAGAGCCUGUGAUUGGAUGUAUCAUGGACGCCAUGCACCAAUCAACUUACCUUCAGGGGCUAUUUAAACCCGAAUUGGCAGCACUACAAUUACCAAUCGAAAAAAACUGAACUAUAUCGGCGAAACGUGUCUUGGACUCUACAGCACCAGCACUUAAGUGUAAAUUUAUAUUUAUUUUAUUAUUUUAUAAAAUAUGUUACAAUAAAGAACAAGAAAGGAAAUAUUAGAGGUGGACUAAGUCCACAUCAAAAAUUCCCAGAAAGGGUUACAGAGAUAUCAAGGGGCAUGGACCCCACAAAAUAAUUUAAAGUAAAAGGAAAGGCUAAAGUGAAAUGGUUGUUUCACUAAGGAUGGAAAAAUUGGACAUCCACUUCUCCAAAUGAUAUCUCUAGACUAUUAGAAUAAUUGUUAGGUAUAACCUUUAUUAAGCCGUCUUGAGGCAAAACAAAAAAUAAAGUGUGAUAAUAGUGAAACACUCGUGAAAAAUCCUCAGAACGUAAUGGAGUGGCUAAGAUAUCUGCACUGAAAAUUAUAGUAAGAAGUACAGUAUAGUACAGUAUGUAUUCAGUCAAAUACCACAAAGCCACUCCUCUAGAGAAAAAAUCCCCAUAAUCUGCAGGGAUCUAAAAAUAUCCCAGCUAUAUAGAGGUAAAUCCACAUAAAUUACCAUAGGCUCUAAUAUAUUUUCGAAGCAUACACUUUAGACUUAAGUAAAUAAUGUCCAUAUAUAGUCAGUCUAUCAUAGAAUUUGUACAAAAUGUUGCAAAUGAAAGAGUCUAGAGGGGAGCUGAGAGACACUGUGUGUAUAAUAUGCUACUUAGUAUUUAAUACUUAAAUAGAGUAGUAUAAAUGAUUAUUCGCUUAGUGAAGAGAAUAUCUCAAUAGACAAAUGAGAGCACAGAUAUAUAGAUAGAUCUAAAGAGAUGGUUAAACAGAGUAAUCCUGGGGGUUAAUGUGCAGGUGUCUCAUAGUAAUAGUAAAAUGGAUUAAGGAAUAUAUAUAUAUAUAUAUAUAUAUACCCACCAGACAAAAAAAAUCCCUCCCAGGAACAAAAAAACACUUAAACAUGUAAAAAAUAAAAAAAAAAUCUAUAUCUGCACUCGCCAAAGCUAGCUCCUAUAGACACUACACAUUGCUGCUUCGAGGCAGCCUAACGCUAUAGGUCGCUGGCUAAACAGUCUAAAUGAUUCUAAUGAUGAAUCUCCUAAUGAUACCACUAACUGUUACUACAAAGAAAAUUUUACUAAGUAGUCUGAGUAAAUACUCCAAAUGAGUCCCCCAGCAUUAAGUGACUAAAUCACUGCUUGCAUCCCCCAGUAGUAAAAACAAACAAACGGCAAACGCUCGAGGCGCGUUUCGGCGUGGUCACACGCCUUUAUCAAGAGCUCCUGGCACGACUGAAAGAGGGAGGGUAAAUUUAUAGCGGGAGGAGUCCCGCCCAUAUAGUUACGUGUUCCAAUCGGCAUUGGCCGGGGGCGUGGCUAUAAGCCGAUCGCGCCCUCCUCCUUCUAGGGGCUUGUCUCAGUGGAAACCACAUGUACACAUACAGCGUUAGCUGUCACUAUGGUGACGCGACCACCCUGACUGCAUACAAAUGCAGUACAGGUUGUCCGUCAGCUUAAAGGCUUCCACUUAAAGAUCCAUUGCCUACAUUACUCAGGUAUAUACUAGCCAUAUAAUAUAUUGGGAGUAAAAUCAAAUUAAUAGUUAUCUGAUAGAGAGAAAUGGUCUUAAUUCAAAAAUGCAUCUACAUUAUAAAACAGAGGGUAUAUGUCACAGAGUCAUUAUAAGACUCAAGAUUAAAUUAUAGAUAGACAUAUUAACUCAUUUCUCAUUUCAAUCCAUCAGUCACUAUUUUGGCAAUAAUCACUAGUAUGUCAUAUCAUGGUGUAAACAACAUUAAUCAAACCUAAGAUCCACUUAAUUAGGGAUCAGCUAUAUGUAUUUAUUAAAUAUUGUUCCACCAUAAAUGUAAAUUAGAUAUUUAUUACAUAUUGCUCCCACAGUGGCAAGAUAGUGACAAAUUAUAAAGUAUAUCCUUAGGUAGACAAAAAUAUAUUUCCCUAAGAGUUCUAUGAACAUAGUCCCAAUGGACUAAAUCAGUGCCAGGUUAAGGUACAAAUACCAAAAAUUAUAAAUAUAAAUCACACAAAAGUUAUUAUAUACAGACAAAAAGAUUUCUAUUAUAUUAUACAUAUAUAUAUAUUUACAGAAUGUGUAGUUAAUGUUAGUCACUCCAUUUAAACUACAAUUAGUGACCAAACCUUAUAUAGCAACCAUGUAACAAGAAUUAAAUGUAGGGAGAAAAUGAAAACCCUUCAUUCAAGCCAUUUGGGUUAAGAGUUUUUAAUUUAUAUAUCCACCUACAUUCUUUUUGACGUAAAAGUUUAUCAUAAUCUCCUCGUCUCUGAUCACGUUUGACCCAUUCUAAUCCGCAGAACCUAAUUGCACUAGAGUCACCUGCAUGGCAAUUUUUUAGGUGUCUCGAGAUUGGAGUUUCCAUACGUUUUUUUGGGGAUCUUACAUGUUCUUUGAUCCGUUCCUUGAAAGGUCUAAAGGUUUUUCCUACGUACAGCAUUUUGCAGCUACAAAUAAGGAGAUAUACCAGUCCAGCAGUAUUACAAUUAAAGAAAUAGGUAAUCACAAAGCUCUGUUGUCCAGCACUAUCUUGGACUUUUUUUGAGUCCCGUAGAAUAUACCUACACGCAACACAUCUACCGCACCCAUAGGAACCACAGGGGGGAUUGCGGCCCAACCAAGUCACUUUAUUCUGUUUCUGUUUUAUUCUGUUUGAGAAGUGGCUUGGUACAAGCAUAUCACGAAGAUUUUUCCCCCUGCGUGCUGUGAUGGUUGCCCUAGGACUAAGGACGUCUUUAAGAUGGACAUCCUUUAGAAGGAUAGGCCAAAAUUUCUCAAUUGACUUUUUCACUGUAUUCCAUCCUGUGUCAAAGGUUCCAAUCAUACGGAUAAUCUUAUUCAACGGUUUUUGUUUAGAUUGAUGCAAGAUAAGAUUAUCUCUAUUCAAUUCUAUGGCUCUUUUAUAUGCUUUUUUAAGGCAUUUAUUCGGGUAACCUUUUUCCCGAAAUUGUUGUCUUAAUAGAGCCGCUUUUGCCUUAAAAUCCGAUAGAUCCGUACAGUUCCUACGUACCCUCAAAUAUUGUCCUACCGGAAUGCCUUGUUUAAGGGGCCUAGGGUGGAAGCUAUCCCAUCUAAGGAAUGCGUUAGAUGCUGUUGGCUUCUUAAAGAGGGUUGUUUUCAAAGACCCAUUCAUAUUAAUAGAGAUGGUUAUAUCCAAAAAAUUCAAUGUCUGUCCUCCAAAUUCUGCUGUGAAUCUGAGAUUAUCUUCGUUUAUAUUCAACAGGGAGACAAAUCCAUUAAAAUCCUCUUCAUCACCCAGCCAGACAAUAAAGAUAUCAUCUUUAUACCUAAGCCAUGUAUGUAUUUUAGGUAUAUAGCUCGAGAAGGUACUAGAUUUCAUGAUCUGUGACUCCCACCAACCAAAAUGAAGGUUGGCAUAGGAGGGCGCACACGCCGUACCCAUCGCUGUCCCCCUUAUCUGGUGAAAGAAUUUGUCAUGAAAUAGAAAAUAAUUAUGAGACAGAAUGUAGCCUAAUAGUUUUAGUACAAACCCCGUGUGGAGAGUAUGAUUGGGACCUCUCUGGUCCAAAAAAUAUCUUGUAUGUUCAAUGCCCCGUUCAUGGGGGAUUGAAGAAUAUAGGGCCUCGACGUCCAAACUACAGAGCUUUGCUGACGUUGGUAACUGAAGAUUCGAAAAGAGUGACAAUGCCUGUUUUGUAUCUCUAAUAUAUGAAGGUAGUUGUUCAACAAACUUUUUAUUUAUUGCUUUUAUUGUUUGUUUGAACUUUUUAUUCUUCCUGAUCCUUCCUGCUGCUGUGAAAAGUCCUGUACUGCUAUUGGAUCAGCUGCUGCUUUUGGAUACCACCUAGUGUGGAGACACGCUGGUUUUAUUUUGCAACAUUGUAAGUGCAACUUAAUUUAAAAUAAAUUGUUAUAUUUUGUACCAUCUGCACUAUCUAUCUCUUUCUUUAUUUGGAGUGAAAAAGAGGAUCUACAGGAUCAUCGCUGGAGGUCCUCUAUAUUGUUGCAGUUCCCUAUUCAUUGUGGGAGAUACGCUUGAUUUCAUCUUAAUUUUGUGAGUUCUCUACCAUUUUGCUUCUAUUUAGAUGUAACAAUAUUACACUAUAUAGUUUUUAUGUAUUUUCAGAUAUAUUUCUGAGACAGAAACUAUCUCUACAUACCAAGUUUGUAUAUAUUUAUUAUUGUUUGUCACUUUGGUGAUUCACAUUGUUUUGUACCUUUGUUUUUUUUCUUUUUUUCACUAUUGUGUUUUAAGUGUUUGUAAGGGUACACUUUAAAACCUUGGGUACUCUUUAGCACGAACAGUUAACUUCUUUCCUUUUUUGUGUUCAACAAAAGGUCUUAUUUUUUCAAUGUAGAGACUCCCAUUUUGAGUCAGAUUAUCAACCCCAGAGACAAUGGGGCGACCCGGUGGGUAUUGUGUAUUUUUAUGGAUUUUGGGCAGGCAGUAGAAGGUUGCUAUCCUGGGACAUAGAUUCAGAAUGAAUUCAUAUUCAUCCCUGGACAGCAACCCCCCACUGCGGCCCUCAUCCAAUAUUUCCUUAUAUUUUGUUAGAAAUGAAUUUGUAGGGUCAGCUUUCAAGAUCAUAUAGGUGUCGUUAUUACCCAAAACCCUCUGUACCAUAUUUUCAUAGUCAGAUACAUUCAUAACCAUCACAUUACCUCCCUUGUCUGCUGGUUUAAUGACCAACUGGUCAUUCGUUUUAAGUGACUUAAGAGCUAUUUGCUCUAUUUUAGAAAGAUUAUCAUUAGGAAACGAAUCAAAACAAUUGCUCUCUAUACCCUCAAUUUCACUUUUUACUGCUUCUAAAAACAAAUCCAAGUUCCUGAAACUGGCAAAAUUAGGGGUAAAUCGGCUUUUUGGUUUCAAUUUGGUAUACUCAGUGGGCGAAUGGACAUCAUUUUCAUCGAGGAGUGAUACUAGUGUAUUUACUAACUCCAAAUCCUUACAUGACAAACCACAGGCUCUUGCUUUUUUCUCUUCAUUAAUAGUAUGAUAUUUAUGUAGAGCAAGUUUGCGUACAAACAGAUGUAAGUCCUUGAUCCAAGUAAACUUAUCAAAGACAGGUGUCGGUACAAAGGAGAGUCCCUUCUCUAGUACUUUAAUCUGGGAUUCAUUAAGCUCGUAAAUCGACAAAUUAAUCACGUGGUUUUUUUUUUUAUAGAAGAAUGUAAUAUUUUAGAGUUUGUAUUUAGUAUCGUCUCCUUCGUGUCCUCCCUCUCGCCCCUCCUCUUCCCGAAUUUCUGGAUUGAUAACGUGUCUGAUAAUUGGGGAUGUCUUCUUGUUGACCCAUCGCUAAAAAAUUGACACCUUUUUUAAGAAUACUGCGAGGAUUACCAGUAUUGGGAAUUGGGGGGGCUUGUUGUUGAUCAGAGUGUGUGUAUUGUACACUGGAAUCAGUGUCUGAGGAAUCAUAUUCUGAAGUCAUAUUGUUUUCAGAAUUGGUUCUCAGGCGACGAUUAGGAAACCUAUAUACAUUCCCCAAUUGAUAAUCUUUCAAAUAUCUCAAACUUCUGAUGUUUUCUAGAUUUUAUAGAGUCCUGAUAUUUGUCAAGAUUAUUUUUAAGUUUAUUUUCCAACAUUGAAAAGUUUGAUUCACUUUUAAACAGAUUAAGCCUAUCAAUUUCUUCGUCCAGCUUUUGAUUAACAUUACCCAAUUUCUCUUUUUCAAAGGUACAAAUUAUCUCCAUAAAUUUCAUUGAGCAUAUUCCAGCUGCUAACUCCCAUUGCUUAGUGAACUCAGGGUUCUCAUUAUAGGUUGUAGGAAUAUUGCGGACUCUAAGGCCCCUAGGAAUCAUUUCUUUUUUAAUAUAGUUUUCAAGUGAGAUCUCCCAGCAUGUCUUAAUUUGUUGCUUAUAUAGCUUAGUCACCGAAUUAAAUGAAUAAUAGAUAUCAGUUGGAGUCUGACUUUUCUCAAGAUUUUCACGGCUUAAUAAAGGUUAUACCUAACAAUUAUUCUAAUAGUCUAGAGAUAUCAUUUGGUGAAGUGGAUGUCCAAUUUUUUAAAAAAGAAAUGAUUCCUAGGGGCCUUAGAGUCCGCAAUAUUCCUACAACCUAUAAUGAGAACCCUGAGUUCACUAAGCAAUGGGAGUUAGCAGCUGGAAUAUGCUCAAUGAAAUUUAUGGAGAUAAUUUGUACCUUUGAAAAAGAGAAAUUGGGUAAUGUUAAUCAAAAGCUGGACGAAGAAAUUGAUAGGCUUAAUCUGUUUAAAAGUGAAUCAAACUUUUCAAUGUUGGAAAAUAAACUUAAAAAUAAUCUUGACAGAUAUCAGGACUCUAUAAAAUCUAGAAAACAUCAGAAGUUUAUGAGAGAUUUGAAAGAUUAUCAAUUGGGGAAUGUAUAUAGGUUUCCUAAUCGUCGCCUGAGAACCAAUUCUGAAAACAAUAUGACUUCAGAAUAUGAUUCCUCAGACACUGAUUCCAGUGUACAAUACACACCCUCUGAUCAACAACAAGCCCCCCCAAUUCCCAAUACUGGUAAUCCUCGCAGUAUUCUUAAAAAAGGUGUCAAUUUUUUAGCGAUGGGUCAACAAGAAGACAUCCCCAAUUAUCAGACACGUUAUCAAUCCAGAAAUUCGGGAAGAGGAGGGGCAAGAGGGAGGACACGAAGGAGAUGAUACUAAAUACAAACUCUAAAAUAUUACAUUCUUCUAUAAAAAAAACACAUGUGAUUAAUUUGUCGACUUACGAGCUUAAUGAAUCCCAGAUUAAAGUACUAGAGAAGGGACUCUCCUUUGUACCGACACCUGUCUUUGAUAAGUUUACUUGGAUCAAGGACUUACAUCUGUUUGUACGCAAACUUGCUCUACAUAAAUAUCAUACUAUUAAUGAAGAGAAAAAAGCAAGAGCCUGUGGUUUGUCAUGUAAGGAUUUGGAGUUAGUAAAUACACUAGUAUCACUCCUAGAUGAAAAUGAUGUCCAUUUACCCACUGAGUAUACCAAAUUGAAACCAAAAAGCCGAUUUACCCCUAAUUUUGCCAGUUUCAGGAACUUGGAUUUGUUUUUAGAAGCAGUAAAAAGUGAAAUUGAGGGUAUAGAGAGCAAUUGUUUUGAUUCAUUUCCUAAUGAUAAUCUUUCUAAAAGAGAGCAAAUAGCUCUUAAGUCACUUAAAGAGAAUGACCAGUUGGUCAUUAAACCAGCAGACAAGGGAGGUAAUGUGGUGGUUCUGAAUGUAUCUGACUAUGAAAAUAUGGUACAGAGGGUCUUGGGUAAUAACGACACCUAUAUGAUCUUGAAAGCUGACCCUACAAAUUCAUUUCUAACAAAAUAUAAGGAAAUAUUGGAUGAGGGCCGCAGUGGGGGGUUGCUGUCCAGGGAUGAAUAUGAAUUCAUUCUGAAUCGAUGUCCCAGGAUAGCAACCUUCUACUACCUGCCCAAAAUCCAUAAAAAUACACAAUACCCACCGGGUCGCCCCAUUGUCUCUGGGGUUGAUAAUCUGACUCAAAAUGGGAGUCUCUACAUUGAAAAAAUAAUAAGACCUUUUGUUGAACAACUACCUUCAUAUAUUAGAGAUACAAAACAGGCAUUGUCACUCUUUUCGAAUCUUCAGUUACCAACGUCAGCAAAGCUCUGUAGUUUGGACGUCGAGGCCCUAUAUUCUUCAAUCCCCCAUGAACGGGGCAUUGAACAUACAAGAUAUUUUUUGGACCAGAGAGGUCCCAAUCAUACUCUCCACACAAGGUUUGUACUAAAACUAUUAGGCUACAUUCUGUCUCAUAAUUAUUUUCUAUUUCAUGACAAAUUCUUUCACCAGAUAAGGGGGACGGCGAUGGGUACGGCGUGUGCGCCCUCCUAUGCCAACCUUCAUUUAGGUUGGUGGGAGUCACAGAUCAUGAAAUCUAGUACCUUCUCGAGCUAUAUACCUAAAAUACAUACAUGGCUUAGGUAUAAAGAUGAUAUCUUUAUUGUCUGGCUGGGUGAUGAAGAGGAUUUUAAUGGAUUUGUCUCCCUGUUGAAUAUAAACGAAGAUAAUCUCAGAUUCACAGCAGAAUUUGGAGGACAGACAUUGAAUUUUUUGGAUAUAACCAUCUCUAUUAAUAUGAAUGGGUCUUUGAAAACAACCCUCUUUAAGAAGCCAACAGCAUCUAAUGCAUUCCUUAGAUGGGAUAGCUUCCACCCUAGGCCCCUUAAACAAGGCAUUCCGGUAGGACAAUAUUUGAGGGUACGUAGGAACUGUACGGAUCUAUCGGAUUUUAAGGCAAAAGCGGCUCUAUUAAGACAACAAUUUCGGGAAAAAGGUUACCCGAAUAAAUGCCUUAAAAAAGCAUAUAAAAGAGCCAUAGAAUUGAAUAGAGAUGAUCUUAUCUUGGAUCAAUCUAAACAAAAACCGUCGAAUAAGAUUAUUCGUAUGAUUGGAACCUUUGACACAGGAUGGAAUACAGUGAAAAAGUCAAUUGAGAAAUUUUGGCCUAUCCUUCUAAAGGAUGUCCAUCUUAAAGACGUCCUUAGUCCUAGGGCAACCAUCACAGCACGCAGGGGGAAAAAUCUUCGUGAUAUGCUGGUACCGAGCCACUUCUCAAUGAAACAGAAUAAAGUGACUUGGUUGGGCCGCAAUCCCCCCUGUGGUUCCUAUGGGUGCGGUAGAUGUGUUGCGUGUAGGUAUAUUCUAUGGGACUCAAAAAAAGUCCAAGAUAGUGCUGGACAACAGAGCUUUGUGAUUACCCAUUUCUUUAAUUGUAAUACUGCUGGACUGGUAUAUCUCCUUAUUUGUAGCUGCAAAAUGCUGUACGUAGGAAAAACCUUUAGACCUUUCAAGGAACGGAUCAAAGAACAUGUAAGAUCCCCAAAAAAAGGUAUGGAAACUCCAAUCUCGAGACACCUAAAAAAUUGCCAUGCAGGUGACUCUAGUGCAAUUAGGUUCUGCGGAUUAGAAUGGGUCAAACGUGAUCAGAGACGAGGAGAUUAUGAUAAACUUUUACGCCAAAAAGAAUGUAGGUGGAUAUAUAAAUUAAAAACUCUUAACCCAAAUGGCUUGAAUAAAGGGUUUUCAUUUUCUCCCUACAUUUAAUCCUUGUUACAUGGUUGCUAUAUAAGGUUUGGUCACUAAUUGUAGUUUAAAUGCAGUGACUAACAUUAACUACACAUUCUGUAAAUAUAUAUAUGUAUAAUAUAAUAGAAAUCUUUUUGUCUGUAUAUAAUAACUUUUGUGUGAUUUAUAUUUAUAAUUUUUGGUAUUUGUACCUUAACCUGGCACUGAUUUAGUCCAUUGGGACUAUUGUAACGGAUCGCCUGGCACCCCGACUGGGUACCUCCGUUAAAAGAUGCUCCUAGCGCUUCCUGAGGACUCCAAGCACUGCAGCCGACACCACAAUCACCGAACCAGAGAAGCGUAUACCUUCUCUCAAGCAUAAGGAAUGCUGUAGACAGUUGAAUAGGAACCAUACGAAUAGGUUUACUCUCCUAGCAGUCAAACUGGAACAGCAUACAAUAAAUCCUUCCCCCAAUAAUGAGACGACACUUCACUUUGAGGGUUAAAACAGGAACUCUCUGUACUGCCACAUACAGUCUCUUUUAUUCCCAAUCCACAAACAUAGUACAGCCCACAGGGCGUUACAAAACAACCAAUCACAUCACAGUUACAUCCCACAUAUUCCCUCCCCUUAUCCUGAGAGGAAACUCAAUUAUACAUACAGUUAAAAUAUACUUUCUACCCAACUUUCAUAACUCCAAAACCAUACAUCACAUUCACAGAAAAUUACAUAUUCACAAUCAAUCCAUUCAGGGAAACAACAUAUUCAAAAAUGGCACAAAUCAGACAAGGGGUUCAAAAGUUAGUAAAAAGUCCUUUGUGACUAAAUGAAGCAUGGCUUUCUUGCCCAAACCAGUUUCAGAGUCUUCUAUCCUGGAGAUAAGUAAUUCAAUUAUCUCCCAGGACAGACACAAGACUCCAUUAAGCACAUGGUUGCAAAAAGACACAAAACACUUUAAAAUACAUAAAGUCACAUUUACACAUAACACACAGACACUUCACAUAUCCCCAGAUAGCUGGGAUCUGAGUGCACAUUAUUAGAUGAAUGGCACUCAGAUCACACAAAUAAGCCUUUCUGCAGGGGAAAUAAACAGUUUAACCUGCAGGGCCAUAGUCCAAAGGGAGCAGGCGAGCAACCAGGCUUCUCCUGUUCACAGUGGCGAGGUUGGUUUCGCCACACUUCUCCCCUUUACCAACUAGACUAACAGGGUAUCUGACCUCCUGCCGGUCAGUGCCCUGGUUAGUCCAGCAACCCACCCACAAAACAGAAACAGCAGUACAGCCCACCCACAAUAACUGGUUACUACACCUGGGUAGAGGGAAACUUUGUCCAUGUCCAGGUGCCUCACCACGACUGUGUGGGCAACUGUUAGGCUGCCUUGGUGGGUUGCUGAGUGGGCAGAGACCAGCGGUACUCUGCCCUGAUGCCAGUGCUACCACAGAAGUAGCCUGGUGGGAGCCUGGUUGUGGGAGGGAGAGACCGACUGUCUCCCCUCUGGAUACACCGUUCUGUGGCUGGGGAACAGGACCGACUGUCCCUACCCCUUGUGCUGUAAGUGCAGAGACUACAGUCCCAUCUGCACUGUUGGGGGGUGUAACAUCUCCCCUUGCUGGGUUAGGCUGCCGCUGGAGAGAGGGUGUAACAAGCUUCUCUCUCUGAACUGUAAACUGCCGCUGGGGAGAGGGGGUAUCAGGCUCCUCUCCCUGACACUCUCUCUGCUGGUGGAGAGGGGGACCAGCUGUCUCCCCUUUCAUUAUUUUGUCCUGUGGUUGGGGUGCGAGACUGACGGUCUCUGCUCCCUGCAGGACACUCUGCCGCUGGGGAGGAAGGACGGCACCUUCAGCUCCCUGGGGUACACACUGCCGCUGGGGAGGAAGGACUGCACCUUCAGCUCCCUGGGGUACACACUGCCGCUGGGGAGGAAGGACUGCACCUUCAGCUCCCUGGGGUGCACACUGCCGCUGGGGAGGAAGGACUGCACCUUCAGCUCCCUGGGGUACAUACUGCCGCUGGAGAUCUGGGCCGACCGCCCAGCAUCCCUGUAGGGCCGGUUGAGAGACCGCCGUCCCAUCUCCACCUGCCAUCUGUGGGUCUGCCCAGGACCAGUCUGUGAGGUCCCUCAACAUUUGCGAGUAAGGACCACCUGCUUCCGCACCUGGCAACUCCGGCUGCUGCUGGGGAUCUGGGCCGGUCCCAUCUCCACAUGCCUGUUGUGGUUCCUCACAGGACCAGUCUAUGAGGACCCCUACUUCGGGUUCCUGCGGCCGCCUCAGGGGGAGGCGGCUAGCCUCCUCGGAUGCAGCCUCUACUCGGCUGCUGUAACACUCCUUCCGCUGAGCAUACUCUCUCUCUUUCGCCAGCCGGAAUUCUCGGGCCAGCCUUGUGUUUCGCUCGGCCGUGACCUGGUUCCAGAUCACCCGGCGUGCCUCCAUGGGUAAAUCAUCCCCAUACUGGGCCACUCGCUGCCUCACCUCGGCCAUCCAAUCAUCGCCAGAGCCUUCCAUACUUGUCUGCUCCAAGUCGCUGGAUACCUCUGCUCCCAGGGGCGCUGCACGUGUGCUAGCGUUGCCCUCAAUUUGUAACUCCAAGCGAACUGUGUCUCUGAGCUGCUUUACCUCGCACUAGGACGCCAUCCCACCGCUUGCCACCAAUGUAACGGAUCGCCUGGCACCCCGACUGGGUACCUCCGUUGAAAGAUGCUCCUAGCGCUUCCUGAGGACUCCAAGCACUGCAGCAGACACCACAAUCACCGAACCGGAGAAGCAAAUAAAUUCUCUCAAGCAUAUAAAUGCUGUAGACAGUUGAAUAGGAACCAUACGAAUAGGUUUACUCUCCUAGCAGUCAAACUGGAACAGCAUACAAUAAAUCCUUCCCCCAAUAAUGAGACGACACUUCACUUUGAGGGUUAAAACAGGAACUCUCUGUACUGUCACAUACAGUCUCUUUUAUUCCCAAUCCACAAACAUAGUACAGCCCACAGGGCGUUACAAAACAACCAAUCACAUCACAGUUACAUCCCACAUAUUCCCUCCCCUUAUCCUGAGAGGAAACUCAAUUAUACAUACAGUUAAAACAUACUUUCUACCCAACUUUCAUAACUCCAAAACCAUACAUCACAUUCACAUAAAAUUACAUAUUCACAAUCAAUCCAUUCAGGGAACAACAUAUUCAAAAAUGGCACAAAUCAGACAAGGGGUUCAAAAGUUAGUAAAAAGUCCUUUGUGACUAAAUGAAGCAUGGCUUUCUGGCCCAAACCAGUUUCAGAGUCUUCUAUCCUGGAGAUAAGUAAUUCAAUUAUCUCCCAGGAUAGACACAAGACUCCAUUAAGCACAUGGUUGCAAAAAGACACAAAACACUUUAAAAUACAUAAAGUCACAUUUACACAUAACACACAGACAUUUCACAUAUCCCCAGAUAGCUGGGAUCUGAGUGCACAUUAUUAGAUGAAUGGCACUCAGAUCACACAAAUAAGCCUUUCUGCAGGGGAAAUAAACAGUUUAACCUGCAGGGCCAUAGUCCAAAGGGAGCAGGCGAGCAACCAGGCUUCUCCAGUUCACAGUGGCGAGGUUGGUUUCGCCACAACUAUGUUCAUAGAACUCUUAGGGAAAUAUAUUUUUGUCUACCUAAGGAUAUACUUUAUAAUUUGUCACUAUCUUGCCACUGUGGGAGCAAUAUGUAAUAAAUAUCUAAUUUACAUUUAUGGUGGAACAAUAUUUAAUAAAUACAUAUAGCUGAUCCCUAAUUAAGUGGAUCUUAGGUUUGAUUAAUGUUGUUUACUAGUGAUUAUUGCCAAAAUAGUGACUGAUGGAUUGAAAUGAGAAAUGAGUUAAUAUGUUUAUCUAUAAUUGAAUCUUGAGUCUUAUAAUGACUGUGACAUAUACCCUCUGUUUUAUAAUGUAGAUGCAUUUUUGAAUUAAGACCAUUUCUCUCUAUCAGAUAACUAUUAAUUUGAUUUUACUCCCAAUAUAUUAUAUGGCUAGUAUAUACCUGAGUAAUGUAGGCAAUGGAUCUUUAAGUGGAAGCCUUUAAGCUGACGGACAACCUGUACUGCAUUUGUAUGCAGUCAGGGUGGUCGCGUCACCAUAGUGACAGCUAACGAUGUAUGUGUACAUGUGGUUUCCACUGAGACAAGCCCCUAGAAGGAGGAGGGCGCGAUCGGCUUAUAGCCACGCCCCCGGCCAAUGCCGAUUGGAACACGUAACUAUAUGGGCGGGACUCCUCCCGAUAUAAAUUUACCCUCCCUCUUUCAGUCGUGACAGGAGCUCUUGAUAAAGGCGUUUGACCACGCCGAAACGCGCGUCGAGCGUUUGCCUUUUGUUUGUUUUUACUACUGGGGGAUGCAAGCAGUGAUUUAGUCACUUAAUGCUGGGGGACUCAUGUGGAGUAUUUACUCAGACUACUUAGUAAAAUUUUCUUUGUAGUAACAGUUAGUGGUAUCAUUAGGAGAUUCAUCAUUAGAAUCAUUUAGAUUGUUUAGCCAGCGACCUAUAGCGUUAGGCUGCCUCGAAGCAGCAAUGUGUAGUGUCUAUAGGAGCUAGCUUUGGCGAGUGCAGAUAUAGUUUUUUUUUAUUUUUUACAUAUUUAAGUGGUUUUUUUGUUCCUGGGAGGGAUUUUUUUGUCUGGUGGGUGCAUAUAUAUAUAUAUAUAUAUAUAUAUAUAUAUAUAUAGGGAUUGAAUCCUUAAUCCAUUUUACUAUUACUAUGAGACACCUGCACAUUAACCCCCAGGAUUACUCUGUUUAACCAUCUCUUUAGAUCUAUCUAUAUAUCUGUGCUCUAAUUUGUCUAUUGAGAUAUUCUCUUUACUAAGCGAAUAAUCAUUUAUACUACUCUAUUUAAGCAUUAAAUACUAAGUAGCAUAUUAUACACACAGUGUCUCUCAGCUCCCCUCUAGACUCUUUCAUUUGCAACAUUUUGUACAAAUUCUAUGAUAGACUGACUAUAUAUGGACAUUAUUUACUUAAGUCUAAAGUGUAUGCUUCGAAAAUAUAUUAGAGCCUAUGGUAAUUUAUGUGGAUUUACCUCUAUAUAGCUGGGAUAUUUUUAGAUCCCUGCAGAUUAUGGGGAUUUUUUCUCUAGAGGAGUGGCUUUGUGGUAUUUGACUGAAUACAUACUGUACUAUACUGUACUUCUUACUAUAAUUUUCAGUGCAGAUAUCUUAGCCACUCCAUUACGUUCUGAGGAUAUCCAUAUUGCAUCUACCCAGUUUUUAUUUCACUUGUUUCACUAUUAUCACACUUUAUUUUUUGUUUUGCCUCAAGACGGCUUAAUAAAGGUUAUACCUAACAAUUAUUCUAAUAGUCUAGAGAUAUCAUUUGGUGAAGUGGAUGUCCAAGUUUUCCAUCCUUAGUGGAACAACCAUUUCACUUUAGCCUUUCCUUUUACUUCAUGUUACAAUAAAUGUUAUUAUUACUUCACUAAGAAGCCUGGUGGAACAUCUAUGCUGCUUAAAGAAGGGCUGUGUCACUCUAAUUUGGCACAAAGUCUACAUACUCAGAGCCCAGUCAUAGGCUCUUUACAAGGUGAGAAGCAACCUUUAUUUAUACUCUGCACUUUAUUGUACCAAGGAUUUCUACACCAGGGUUAGCAUUGCUUCCCUGUUCUCUCCAAUUUUUUGUCUCCAUUAUUGAGGUUUUUACCUAAUAUGGACGUUUAGGGUGUGUGUCACCUUAAAGUACACAAAAGCGGAAUAGAUCAGAGCCGGUCCUUAAGAGGCUGUAAACCAUGUGAGUGAAUCCAGUAUAAGAUACGAUCCUCACCAUUAUACCAAUCAUAUUGCACUAUAUUCUAUAUCUCCUUUUAGGAUUUUCUAUCCAUUGUAUACAUCUCCUAAGAAUUCUAGGAGUAAGUGUUCAUUUGUUUAAGCACUACACACCUCUCACUAUUUGGCAUUUAUCUAUCAGUGAGUGUGUGCGUCUGUCAGUGAGUGAGCGUCUGUCAGUCAAAGUGCGGCCUUGCCAGGAAGGGGUGGAGAAAAUUUAAAUUCGGGGUGUGCCCAAGCACCGUCCUGCCUAGGGCAGGACAAAUCCUAAAUACACCACUGAGUACACAUACUGCACACACACACAUAGAUGACAUAGUACACACGUGCCUGUCUGACUCCAGUACUUGCCACUUUGGGGAAGGUGCACGGGGAUCCUUCUGCUCAGGAUCUCCUGCAGAAGCAGUAAGUACACAGAGAAGCCCAGCAAGCUGCAUGUUGUCUCUUGGUGAUAAGUUCCCAGUGAGAGCGAUGCGGCAUUUACCAAGUGAAGGUGUAUUGUGCCCCCACUGAGGAUUAUCUGCCCAUCUCUGCCAGGACUGGUUGCCAGCAGGGAGCACAGGGGGGCAAAGGAGGGCUGCUGCACCUGGGUACCGGGCUGUCCUGGGAGCUGCUCCCACUGGAUGGUAGUAGGGUGCUCUGCAUGCUGGAGGGCUGCCUUGGGUGGUGUAGUUAGGUAGGGAGGUGCCCUGGGUGGUGUAGGUAGGUAGGGGCUGCUAGGGAUGGAGCAAGGUAGGUACCGCUCUGCCGGCAGUGGCGUCGCUGGGGGGGGGCGCCAUGGCCCCCCCUACAUCAUGUUGUGCCCCCCCUUGGGUGCCCCAAAUGCCAGCAAGAUGCUGUCCAUGUUUUUGCAUUCUAUUCCCUCGGGCUGUAACAGUGUGUUACAGCCCAGAGAGGGAAUGCAGGGCAGAGGAGCUUAGCUGGAAUGGUGCUGGGGGCUGUAUGUGGUCGGAGGGAGCACUGACAGUCUCCCCGGCAAGGCCCCACCCCCAAACGAAGCCCCACCUCCUGCACAUAAACCCCACCCCUUCCAUUAAGCAGCAGACCUUGCUGCUGCUGCUGGAAAGGCCAGAAGAUGGCUGUCUGACCUCCAGCAACAGGUAGGCUUGAUAUGCUCAGGUGUGUGUGUGUGUGGACUCAGCAGUCUGCGUAUGUGUGUGUGUGUGUGGACUCAGCAAUCUGUGUGUGUGUGUAUGGACUCAGCAGUCUGCGUGCGUGUGUGUAUGGACUCAGCAGUCUGCGUGCGUGUGUGUAUAUGGACUCAGCAGUCUGCGUGCGUGUGUGUGUGUAUAUGGACUCAGCAGUCUGCGCGUGUGUGUGUAUAUGGACUCAGCAGUCUGCGUGUGUGUGUGUAUAUGGACUCAGCAGUCUGCGUGUGUGUGUGUAUGGACUCAGCAGUCUGCGUGUGUGUGUGUAUGGACUCAGCAGUCUGCGUGUGUGUGUGUGUGGAAUCAGCAGUCUGUGUGUGUGUGUGUGGACUCAGCAGUCUGUGUAUGUGUUUGAAUAUGGACUCAGCAGUCUGUAUGUGUGUAUGGACUCAGCAGUCUGUAUGUGUGUAUGGACUCAGCAGUCUGUGUGUGUGUGUGUGGACUCAGCAGUCUGUGUGUGUGUGUGUGGACUCAGCAGUCUGUGUGUGUGUGUGGACUCAGCAGUCUGUGUGUGUGUGUGUGUGGAAUCAGCAGUCUGUGUGUGUGUGUGUG
Molecule: long non-coding RNA, 66374 nt
Filed under: Pelobates cultripes (western spadefoot toad)
Lineage: Eukaryota; Metazoa; Chordata; Amphibia; Anura; Pelobatidae
Source: RNAcentral